This 57244-nucleotide long non-coding RNA is filed under the name Hordeum vulgare. Its description in RNAcentral is "long non-coding RNA (HVUL_LNC006483)". Lineage: Eukaryota; Viridiplantae; Streptophyta; Magnoliopsida; Poales; Poaceae. The record is from RNAcentral.
UAAGGAGCUCGUCGCCUCCCCGCAACCCUAGGGCUCCCGUUUUCCCCUUCUCCUCCCUCUCGCGCCGUCAGGGAAGGGCCUCCGACGCGGACGCCAUGGGAGGUCCUCAGUGAGCUCGAGCAGCAGCAGUUCGCGGACUCCUCCGCUCCUUCGAUAGCACUAGGUGGACGCGGUGGCCGAGGAGAUCCCGUUCCCAUAGCAACCUGAUGGCUUCUUCCUCGACGUCCACGUUGUCUUCUUCCUCCCCUGCUGUCGGCGAACUCCUCUGCUUCGGAUCGACGCCCUCCUUCCUCUCCUGCACCGGUUCAUCAUCUAGGUUCUAGGUGAGCGUUCCCCGCUUCUUCCCCCUCUCUGGUAGCACGAGUAGGUGAACAAAGCGACGACUGUCCAGAGUAGUGCGUAGGAGCUCGAGCAGCAGCACCACCGUAGCUAGGUGGUCGUAGAUCCGGCGUAGCAGUGCUUCUAUCGGAGAGAUUAGGCCGGGAAUGGAAUCCAUGUGGUUCCUACUUCCCCCCCCNNNNNNNNNNNNNNNNNNNNNNNNNNNNNNNNNNNNNNNNNNNNNNNNNNNNNNNNNNNNNNNNNNNNNNNNNNNNNNNNNNNNNNNNNNNNNNNNNNNNCUGAACACCUACUUACGUCAAACAUAACCCCACCAUGUUCCCCAUCGAAGAGAGGUCUUCGAAGGAGACAGUCACGGUUACGCACACAGUUGGCAGUUUUAUUAGAGUUAGUUCAAGUUAUCAGGACCGGAUGUUAACAAAUUAUCCAUGCUUGCCACAUAACCGCAGGCACGACUUUCCGAAAGAUUAAACCCUGCAGGGGUGCUCCAACUAGUCCAUCAAAACGGUCACGAGCCGCAAAGUAAUCCUCUAUCACGAAUCUCGUGAUCUCGUCGGAUUCCUUAGAGGAAAACCUCAACUUUGAGGAGACCCAAAGUUUCAUCGGGAUUCCUAUACGCAAGAUAUAUCGCUAAGGUAAGACAAAUCUAGCAGGACCUCCCGACGUNNNNNNNNNNGGGAGACCGAAAGUUUCACCUGGAUUCCUAUACCCAAGAUAUAUCGCUAAGGUAAGACAAAUCUAGCAGGACCUCCCGACGUGUCGACGACCCCGAUAAGAGCCGCGUAUCUCAGUCUCAGGACACGCCGGAUAAGCGAAGCGUACGGUGGCCUGAUAGAAAUCUCCUGAGUUGCCCCGGGUUGGCCCCGCACGGUGCUCUGGUUUGGACCAACACUCAUGAGGAGCACUGGCCCGGGUUGUUGAUUAAAUCCUCGGGGUAGCUAUUCCCUAUGCAAAUUAUUAUUAGGUGAUUAGCAAAUUAAAACCAAUGUUGGGUCCUACCGGACAAGCCUUAACACUACACGAUUUAUCAAGGGGGACCCCAUAACAACCCCGAACGUGUUAGGAGCGAUCAGUUAUGGAAUCAANNNNNNNNNNAAUAAGAGCCGCGUAUCUCAGUCUCAGGACAUGCCGGAUAAGCGAAGCGUACGGUGGCCUGAUAGAAAUCUCCUCAGUUGCCCCGGGUUGGCCCCGCACGAUGCUCUGGUUUGGACCAACACUCAUGAGGAGCAUUGGCCCGGGUUGUUGAAUAAAUCCUCGGGGUAACUAUUCCCUAUGCAAAUUAUUAGUAGGUGAUUAUAAAAUUAAAACCAAUGUUGGGUCCUGCCGGACAAGCCUUAACACUACACGAUUUAUCAAGGGGGUCCCCAUAACAACCCCGAACGUGUUAGGAGCGAUCAGUUAUGGAAUCAAACACCGGUAGCCGAAACUAAGGUGGCAACAACGGAACAAGUCACCUGGCAAAAGGCUAGGCCUUCCGUCAUUUACCAAGUAUAUAGGUGCAUUAAUUAAAUAGAAGAUUAAUCAUAAUGAUAUCAAAAUACUCAUGUUAUCACAUGAGACAGCUGGCACCUGCAACUAACAAAACUAAUCAUUAGAAGUUGAGCAAGCCUACUUAGCCAAACAUUAGCUAGGAGGGGAAGGUGUUUUGGGUUUCAUGGCAUUAACAAGAGGCAUUUUAACAAGUGGUAGGCAGUGAGCAUAUAUCGAAGGAAACGUGAUUCUAAGCAUAACAAAGCUAGAUAUGGUAUCAAGGUCACGGUCAUCUUGCGUGUGAUGUCUUUAGCUUGGAACUGCUCUUGAUCGUCCUGCACGUACUCUCCAGAAUCCACGUACUCGCUCUCUGAUCCCGGUGCUACCCAAGAUAAAAAAACAGCCAAUGUACUCCAACACAACAUGAUGCAACAAAUAAUGUGAUGCAUGAGAUGAGAAGGAAGCAUGCCUCACUAUUCUAGUCACUUGCAUAUACAUGAGAUGAGAAGAUAAACUUCUGGACAGAACUUCACACUAAGCUAUCUUGACAUGCAUGAGGAUGGCAUGAAGAGGUGCAUCACGAGAAAACGAUGCAAAAACAUAUAAAGAACGUUGAGAACGGAGCUACGGAUCAACCGGAAACUACGAAACAAGAUAUGGAGUCCUACGGGUGAAAUCAAACACAAGAACACUCCAAUGGCACUCUUCUGGUGUUCCCAGGUUGCCACAUGAUCAAACAAACAAAUAUAAGUGGAGUGGUGCAAAGAAACUCACCACACCACCAACAAUACUCACACAAGCUUCAAAACAACUAAAACAUGCAAUCUGACCUAAACAACAUCAUAGCAGUUUGCCUACAACAUUCAAAGUACCUACAGCCACCUAAAUGAGCCAAACAAGAUAUGUGGCAAAAGACAUUCAAAAGCUCUACAAGCCUGAGCAAUAAGCUACUGAAAAGGCAUCACACGUAAGAAGAUCUAUGGACACAAACUUGGACAAAAAUAAUAGAUUUCUCGGACUUAGUGAAAAUCUCAGAUUUUCACUAGCUGCUUAUGCUCUGAAGCAUUUUGGCAGCCUCCAAAAUGAUAUCUACAGGAAGUGAAAGUGCAUGAAAUUUAACGGAGGGCUAGACAAACCCAAAAUCUCACAAACCUUAGUUUGUUGCAUGGGUUGAUUCCCAAUACAUGAGCUUGUGCAACCACAUCAACAAGGGAAGAAAAUAACAGCAGUUUCUCAGAUUUUCACAAAGCUGACAAUUUCAGCCAAGUGUCAACUUUGACAANNNNNNNNNNNNNNNNNNNNNNNNNNNNNNNNNNNNNNNNNNNNNNNNNNNNNNNNNNNNNNNNNNNNNNNNNNNNNNNNNNNNNNNNNNNNNNNNNNNNGGCAUAAGAACCUUGGUUUGCUCAUGAAUAUUAUAUACUUAGCUUGUUUUCCUCUAAAAUGACAUAAUUAGCCCAUUUAGCUCCAAAAUGGCCUAUUUAAUAAAACAAUGACCUAUACUUACCUAAGUUCUCUUCUAAAUGACAUAAUAAGGCUAUGUAGCUCCAAGAUGACCUAUUCCACCUAACUUAGCUAUUAAAUGGCCUAUAAUUAGCUUAGCUAGCUCGCAAAUGGCUUAAUAAUCAUAGUUGGCUCCAAAAUGACAUAUUUUACCCAAGUUAGCUCUAGAAUGGCCUAUACUUUGCUUGGCUUCCACCUAAAUGACAUAAUUAGCUUAAUUAGCUCCAAAAUGGCCUAUUUAAUAAAAAAUGACCAAUACUUACCUAAGUUCUCUUCUAAAUGACAUAAUAAGGCUAUGUAGCUCCAAUAUGACCUAUUGCACCUAACUUAGCUAUUAAAGGCGUGUUCAGAGUCCCUCCACUCCACCACUCCGCUCCAGGAGCGGGUGGAGCUGAAGUUCAAAACUGUGGAGCGGGUCAAUAGACACUCCGUGGAUCCUUGAAUUCGAGGGAGCCGGUUGAUUGCCGAACAACCCCUAAAUGGCCUAUAAUUAGCUUAGCUAGCUCCAAAAUGGCUUACUAAUCAUAGUUGGCUCCAAAAUGACAUAUUUUAUCCAAGUUAGCUCUAGAAUGGCCUAUACUUAGCUAAGUUCUCUCCUAAAUGACAUAAUAAGUCUAUGUAGCUCCAAGAUGACCUAUUCCACCUAACUUAGAUAUUAAAUGGCCUAUAAUUAGCUUAGCUAGCUCCAAAAUGGAUUAAUAAGCAUAGUUGGCUCCAAAAUGACAUAUUUUUUCCCAAGUAGCUCCAAAAUGACAUAUACUUAGCUAAGUUCUCUCCUAAUGACAUAAUAAGGCUAUGCAGCUCCAAGAUGACUUAUUCCCCCUAACUUAGCUAAGUUCUCUCUGAAAUGACCUAUACUUUUCUUCUUCAUCUAGUCUUCUUCUUCUAACUUUUUAUUUGCCAUUUUGUAGAUUACAUUCACUUCACGGGAAGCUUGGAUUAUAUUGAUGGAGUGCUUGAAUAUGGUUGAUUCUACCAUGGCUUCACGGAAGCUUGGAUUGAAACUAUUGUAGUAUAUGGAUAUAUAUGUAACUUUGAAUGCAUGGAUGAAACUAUUGUAAUAUAUGGUUUGGUACGGAUGCAACUUGCAUAAUAUGUAUGUAUUAUGGAUGAAAGUUAUUUUAAUAUGGUUAUGAGUAUGGAAACAAAAUUAUUUCUGUCAAAUAUAUAUAUAUCCUGAUUAUUGUGAAAAUUAUUCCUGAUUUGUGUGAAAAUUGCUGGAUAUUAUAGAAAAUAAAAUAAACAGGGUUUGUUUUGAGCCUUUGUCGUCCGCCCACCAAUGGCAAAGGGCAUGCAGCAGAGGGAAAAGGCUCAAACAUGCGUGGGAUGAAACAUGCUGGGGUGCCCCUUUGCCGUUGGCCUGAGACAUGGCUGACGACAAAAGAGGAGGGCAGACGACAAAGGUGAGGGAGAGAGGGGCUGGGUGCCCCCCUUUGCCGUCGGCCUCAAACAUGGCUGACGACAAAGGGGGGGGGGUAGGGAAGACGACAAAGGUGGGGUAGGGCAGAUGACAAAGGGGGGGUAGGCCUAGCAGGCUGCCGUUAGCACUUAACGGGAGCGAUUGCGAAUCUGCCAUCCCAUUUUGUUUGCCAUUAGCCCCACCAUGGCAAAGAUUCUUUGUAGUCCGCCUUCCAAAGGCACACGACAAAGAACCUCUUUGCCGGAUAAAUCUUUGCCGUCUAGUUUGCCGUCCGGGGCGCCCCCCUUUGCCGUCUGCCCUGCCGGACGACAAAGUUUCUAAUCCCUGUAGUGCACAUAGCUACUGUAGAAGAUCUCAGCCCCGAGGAGGAACUACUCCCGCUUCAUGGAGGGAGGAAGCAACAUCGACGGAGAUGAAUCCCGGGGCACUUCCCUGUCCCGGCAGGGUGCCGGCACAGGAAUUCUGGUCCCCCGAAACUUGUUGACGAUGGCGGCGGAUAUUGGAAUUGCUUUUGGCGAAAAGGGUUCCAGAAUCAGCAUUUCCUCCACGGGGGUAAAAGUAGGAGCCGAGGUAGGGUUCCAGAGGAGGUGGGCCCCACCCAAGCGGCCUGUGGGCGCGACCAGGGGGUAGGCCGUGCAGGGAGGCCGCCUGGGCGACGCCUGGCUCCCCUCUAGCGAACCUUUGGUGCUCUCGAAGCUUCUGUCACGCUGAUUUUUAUAUAUUUUUCUUGGGAUUUUUGGGACUCGGUAAAUUGGGGUAAAAGUCCGUGCAAAAAAAGACAUCAGCAGACAAAAACUAGCACUAGGUGCACUGAGUUACUAGGUUUGUCCAAAUAUGUGUCAAAAGGUAUGAAAGUGUACAAAACACAUAGCAAUAUCACCCAAAACUUGCAUGGAGCAAGCAGAAAUUAUAGAUACGCUUGGGACGUAUCAACAUCCCCAAGCUUAAUUCCUACUCGUCCUCGAGUAGGUAAAUGAUAACAAGCAUAAUUUAUGUGGUGACAUGCUAACACACAUAUAAGAACUUCAAAGUAAAGCAAGCAAGAUAUGAAAUUCAAGUCAAGACAAUAACAAGCAAGAGUCUAUAUCUAGUAUUGAAACUAGCAAAGUAAGAACAUAAAGGUGCAAGAGCUCUCGCUGUCCGUGACUCGAAUGUCUCCAAAUGGUGUUUGCGUGCAAGAAGCGGGAGAUAGGUUUAGAGCAUAAAAAUAGUAUUUAAUUGAGAACUCAAUCUACUAAAACUUUACACUUGGUCUCCUUCAGAAUCUUAUUUUGACUCAUCGCCAGACCACUAGUCAGGCACAAGUCAAAAUGAUCCUCUCCCUUUCGACUUUGAGCACUCAUACAAUGGAUGAGCGCAAUCAAGAUAUGUUGGCACUUAGGAUGGAAAAUAGAAUAAUGAUGGGGAAGGACGACAAAUAGGUGUGAAAGGCUCACAUCAAUGAGGACAACCAUAGGCGAGAGAAGGCCAAAUGAUAGAUAUGAUGUGAGGAGUAGGGAUUGCCAUGCAACGGAUGCAUGAAUGAUAAUCUCUAUGUAGUACAAAUAUAACAAUGGAGUACGAGUGUGGAUCUUUCAAAAGGAAUAGUAGUGUUGCCCCCUUCUCUCUUUUUAUUUCUUUUUCUUUUUUUCUUUUUUUGUGUGGCCUCUUUGGUGCUUUAUAUAAUUCUCUCAUUUGUCGUCUUUGGGAUCUUUUCAUUUGUCCUCUUUGGGAUCUUUUCCUCACUUAAGGGCAACACUCUAUGUUUUACAAGAAUAAAAAGAAGAUCAUCACACUUUAUAAGAAGUACUCAACAUAAAGACAAAUGAAAACUAUCAUGAUGUAUGCAAAUGUAUGCCUCUACCAGUGUAGGAGGAUAUGCAAUGAUACUAGCACGUCAUGCAGCAAUAAUAAGGACAAGGACCAACUAGCAUGCGGCUCCUCGAUCAAGCAAAAGCAUGUAUGACAUGAAGAUCAAGUCAUGAGAUGGUGGAUGUUGCAUGGCAAUGUAUCUCGGAAAGGCUAUGGAAAUGCCUUAAUAGGUAGGUAUGGUGGCUAUUUUGAGGAAAGAUAUAAUGAGGCUUAUGAUGACAGAGUUUAUCAUGUCAAGGGUUUGGAUGAACCGGCGAAGUUUGCACCAACUCUCAAGAUGAGAAAGGGAAAUGCAUGGUACCGAAGAGGCUAGGGAUGGUGGAAGUUGNNNNNNNNNNNNNNNNNNNNNNNNNNNNNNNNNNNNNNNNNNNNNNNNNNNNNNNNNNNNNNNNNNNNNNNNNNNNNNNNNNNNNNNNNNNNNNNNNNNNCUUGAAACCCAAAGUAGUAAUUUCAUCACUACUCAAAGUUUUGAUAUCCUCUACUCCGCUUUCAAUGCUUCUAGCAUCAAGGUAGAUAGACUCCGAAUCAUUGGGGCGUUUUCCAACCAAAGUGGAUUCAUAUCCAGCCCCAUCAUCAUUAGGUUUAACAUUAGAAAACAAGGAUUCAAUGGGAGUCACACCAAGCACUUUAAGAUCUUUGUGAUUCUCAUCAUGAGAACACACCUUUUCAAGCCAUUCAUGUCUAGCACGAAUUUGGGCGGUUCUUUCUUUACUCUCAUUCAUGAAACACGCAUAGCUUUGAAAGUUUCAUCCAUAUUAAUCUUGGGAGGAGCACAUCUCAAUUUCAAAGCAUCAAUAUCAAGAGACAUUAUAUCAACGGUCCUAGCCAAGUCAUCAAUUUUGAGCAGUUUUUCUUCUAUGGACGCAUUGAAAAUCUUUUGCGAGUUGAUAAUCUCUUUAAUAUUACUCUCAAGAUCAUAGGUUAAUUUAUUGUAAUUUCCAUGAGCAUUGUUGUAGGAAUUGCCAAAGUUAUUAGAAGGAUUACUAGGAAAAGGCCUAGGAAUAAAGUUACCUCUAUAAGCAUUGUUGUUGCCAAAAUCAUUCCUACCAACAAAAUUAACAUCCAAGCUCUCAUUGCUAUUCUCAAUCAAGGAAGACAAAGGUAUAUCAUUUGGAUCUAGACGAGCACCUUUACUAGCAAACAAUUUCAUUAACUCAUCCAUCUUAGAACUCAAAGAGUUAAUUUCUUCUAUAUCACGCAUUUUUUUACUAGUAGGUGACCUUUCAGUGUGCCAUUGAGAAUAGUUUGUCAUGAUAUUGUCUAGGAGUUUUGUGGCUUCUCCUAAUGUGAUUUCCAUGAAGGUUCCACCGGAGGCGGAAUCCAAGAUAUUUCUAGAAGCAAAAUUCAAACCAGCAUAGAAGAUUUUUAUAAUCAUCCAAAGACUCAAGCCAUGAGCGGGACAAUUUCUAAUCAUCAAUUUCAUCCUCUCCCAAGAUUGUGCAACAUGUUUAUGAUCUAGUUGCUUAAAAUUCAUGAUAUCAUUAUGGAGAGAGAUAAUCUUAGCCGGUGGAAAAUACUUGGAUAUAUAAGCAUCUUUACACUUGUUCCAAGAAUCAAUGCUAUUUUUGGGUAAAGAUGAAAACCAAAUUUUUGCUCGAUCUCGUAAUGAGAACGGAAAUAACUUCAAUUUAAUCACAUAAUUAUCCACAUCUUUCUUCUUUAGUGGCAGGAGCAAUCGGAGUACUAAUAAAAUCAUUAUUAUUAGUAUUCGAGAAGUCACACAAUUUGGUGUUUUCAGUCAUGGUGACUUCAGCAAGCAGACAAGCACACAAGCGAACAGAAAGCAAGCGAAAGAAAAGGCGAACGAAAAAGGCAAAUAUUUUUGUAUUUUUUUUUCAGAAGUGGGGGAGAGGAAAACGAGAGGCAAAAGGCAAAAAAGUAAAUGCAAGAGAUGAGUUUGUGAUAGUUACUUGGAUGAGCUUCACUUAGAAUAAUCCCCGGUGCCAGAAAUUGACAUGUUGAAGGGAGACUAUUCUUGACUUGAUACUCCCCGGCAACGGCGCCAGAAGUUCUUCUUGCUACCUCUUGAGCUUGCGUUGGUUUUUUCCCUUGAAGAGGAAAGGUUAUGCAUCACAGUAGCAGUAAGUAUUUCCCUCAGUUUGAGAACCAAGGUAUCAAUCCAGUAGGAGUAUCAAGACAAGUCACCAAUGUACCUGCGCAAAAACAAACAAACUUGCACCCAACGCUAUAAAGGGGUUGUCAAUCCCUUCACGAUUAAUUGCAAGGUGAGAUCUGAAGGUGGAAAGUGCAACAAAGUAAAAGUGUAGAGCUGAAAUUAUGAUGUGAACUAGACCCGGGGGCCAUAGUGUUCACUAGAGGCUUCUCUCAUGAUAGCAAGUAUUACGGUGGGUGAACGAAUUACUGUCGAGCAAUUGAUAGAACCGCGCAAAGUCAUGACAAUAUCUAAGGCAAUGAUCAUACAUAUAGGCAUCACGUCUGAGACAAGUAGACCGAUACUGUCUGCAUCUACUACUAUUACUCCACACAUCAACCGCUAUCCAGCAUGCAUCUAGUGUAUUGAGUUCAUAACGAACAGAGUAACGCCUUAAGCAAGAUGACAUGAUGUAGAGGGAUAAAUUCAUGCAAUAGUUAUAAACCCCAUAUUUUUACCCUUGAUGGCAACAACAUGAUGUGUGCCUCGCUACCCCUUCUGUCAAUGGGUGAGGACACCGCACGGUAUGAACCCAAAACCAAGCACUUCUCCCAUUGCAAGAAUUAUAGAUCAAGUUGGCCAAACGAAACCCACAACUCGAAGAGAAUUACAAGGAUACGAAAUCAUGCAUAUAAGAGAUGAGAGGAAACUCAAAUAAUAUUCAUAGAUAAUCUGAUCAUAAAUCCACAAUUCAUCGGAUCUCGACAAACACACCGCAACAGAAGGUUACACCGGAUAGAUCUCCAUGAAGAUCAUGGAGAACUUUGUAUUGAAGAUCCAAGAGAGAGAAGAAGCCAUCUAGCUACUAGCUAUGGACCCGAAGGUCUGCGGUGAACUACUCACGCAUCAUUGGAGAGGCAAUGGUGUUGAUGAAGAAGCCCUCCAUGUCUGAAUCCCCCCUCGGCAGGGCACCAGAACGUGCCCCAGAUGGGAUCUUGCGGAGAGAGAAGCUUGCGGCUGCAGGAAAAGUAUUUUCGUGGCUCUCUCUGGCAGUUUUGGAUUUUUAGGGAAUUUAUAGGCGGAAGAAGUAGGGCAAAGGAGCCAUGGGGGGCCCACAAGCCUGGUAGGCGCCCCCCAGGCCAUGGCUAGGGGGCUUGUCGCCUCCCCUAGAAUCCUUUGCCUUGGUUCUCAAGUUCCUUGCGUAUCUUGUGUUACGGAAAAAAUCUUUCCGAAGGUUUUAUUCCGUUUGGGUUCCGUUUAAUAUUCUUCUGUGAAAAGGGUCAAAACCAUGGAAAAAACAGGAACUGGCACUUGGCACUGAGUUAAUAGGUUAGUCCCAAAAAAGAUAUAAGAUAGCAUAAUCAUGCAAACAAAACAUCCAAAGUUGACAAGAUAAUAGCAUGGAACCAUAAACAAUUAUAGAUAUGUUGGAGACGUAUCAGGGGGUUUAGGUGUGUCCACAGCCCUCCCAACCCUCCUUUAUUUAUAGGAGGAAGGGUUGAGGGGGUCGUACACCCUAAUAAACCCUAGGAGGGGGCGGCGGCGGCCCUAGGGGUGGCUUGCCUCCCAAGUUGGACCACUACAAGGAAUAUGCUAAUACACGACGCUAUUUUUUCGUCGCUACAUCAUCACGGUUUUUAAUUUACGACGAUCUCACGACGAAAAACCAAGCGUCGAAAACGGAGCGUCACAAAUGGACAACAGCGAUGUUUUGAUCAAAAUCGUCGUAACCUUUACGACAAUUCCUGGAUUGUCGUAACCUUUACGACGAUCCUAAAUCGUCGUUGGCAAUCAAACCCAGUCCUACGUGGCAGUCCUAGGUGGCAAAAUUACGACGAAAUCAAAACGUCAUGGUUGAAAUCAGCCCAACCCAUUUCAAUUGAUCACAUGGGCUGGUUUUUUUGGGGGCUUUUUCUUAUUGGGCCUUAGCCUAUUUACAGCCACUUUAGUAAUCAUUUUUGGGCCCUAGCCUUUUAGUGUCCAAAUACAUUUGAUCCAAUUUCAGUUUUGGCCUUUUUUUCAUUUUUAAAUUCAGCAACUUUUUUUAUUUUAUGUUGUUAAUGAAUCUAUGAAUAACAGCCCAGUCAUGUGAAUUUUCAGAAAACAUUUUGACAGCAUAAUGCGUUGAAAGAAUCCAAACCAACAAGAAUGAUGCAAUGUUGUUGUUCAUUUCAAAACUGAUUCGUGCACUCCAAGUGCAAGUGAGUCAAUACAUUCACUAGAUUAAACUUUCCAUGUCACCAUCCUACCACAACAUUUCCACAACACCCCAAACUAAAAAAAUUACUCGCUCAUGGAUGAAUUUAACAGCCACUACUACUCGCUGCUGGCCCUUCCUUGCUUGUCUUGUCAUUCUUCCACAACGCAGGCAUCGACUCGCCAAGACAGGCCUUCCUUCCUUCCGUGCAUUGAAUACAAAAGGAGCUCAGAUAUAGCACCCAGUAGAACGCCAAGCCAUCAUCAGACACUUCACACCAUACGUCUUUAUCAAACACUUCACACCAUACGACACCCAGUCGUCCAACUACAACCAAGUGGCACUACAAGCUCCAUCCAUCGGGUCUUCUCGCCUUUGCAAUAUCAAACUUUCUGAUGACCUGGGCAGGGAGACACACACACACAUAGAGAUAACAAGAUUAACCGGUGGCCUCAAGAACCCAUAAAGGACAAACAAGCCAUAGAGCCAAAGCAACAUAAAUUUGUAGAACAACAAAAAGAACAAUAUGUGUUGCAUGUAUUUUAUACCAGGAAAAGGAACAACAGCCUAAAAGCCUACAUAUGCACUACAUUGGCUGAUAGCCGCACAACAAAAAAAUUAUCAAGCUGCAACUAUGAUACUCUCUUGGUUGCAACUAGCCUGGCCAGUGUCGGAUCACGUUGGGACAGUGUCUAACCAUUUUGUUACUUUGUGCAAGUGGCACUACAGAAAAAAUAUAUUAUAAGUUGGGGUGUAUCUAAAUGUAAGCCAGUCCUCAUACUUGUAAGCCCGGUAUGAAAGGAAGAAACCACAUUAAACAAAGUGACCUACUUGAUUUUCUUAUAGGUUGCUUGCAUGGAAUUUUCGUGUGAAAAAUCACAGCGAAAUACAUAUGCACGAAUCUCGUCAUUGUGUGUAACCGUGAACCUUUUUUUAAUUACAAUAAAGGGGCCGUAUGCAUCGUGCUGAUGCAGAGGCCGGAGGUAACCCUCUUUUUCUAAAAAAAAACUACAUUCAGAUCAACAUGCAUGCAUGCACGGUGAAAUGCAAAUAUAAACUCAGGUAUUUGUUCUGCUGAAGAAUCGAGCAAGACAAGUUCUCCAACAAAAAAACAAGUUCAACUAAGAGUGUCGUGGGUAUAAGCCUGACAGUAGAUGUGUAGGGUACGAAAGGAUGGGCAGAGCCUUAGCUACGACGAGGUUGUAUGAGUUCAGGCCCCUCUGCGGUGGAGGUAAUAGCCCUACGUCUCAGUGCUCUGGGAGNNNNNNNNNNNNNNNNNNNNNNNNNNNNNNNNNNNNNNNNNNNNNNNNNNNNNNNNNNNNNNNNNNNNNNNNNNNNNNNNNNNNNNNNNNNNNNNNNNNNNNNNNNNNNNNNNNNNNNNNNNNNNNNNNNNNNNNNNNNNNNNNNNNNNNNNNNNNNNNNNNNNNNNNNNNNNNNNNNNNNNNNNNNNNNNNNNNNNNNNNNNNNNNNNNNNNNNNNNNNNNNNNNNNNNNNNNNNNNNNNNNNNNNNNNNNNNNNNNNNNNNNNNNNNNNNNNNNNNNNNNNNNNNNNNNNNNNNNNNNNNNNNNNNNNNNNNNNNNNNNNNNNNNNNNNNNNNNNNNNNNNNNNNNNNNNNNNNNNNNNNNNNNNNNNNNNNNNNNNNNNNNNNNNNNNNNNNNNNNNNNNNNNNNNNNNNNNNNNGCCUACGUUACAGGUAACAUAAGUCUUAAAUGCUAAUAAAGGCACGGGGAAACGUAUGACCGUUUCCCUCCAGGGGGUUACGAGGCUCAGAGUGGAGUCCAGACGGUUAGUUUGAUACGCUCCGAAUGCUAGUCUCCGACUAGAUGGUCGAAGACCUGUUACCGACUGGAUGAUGGGAACUCCUUAGUUCAGUCGGAACUGACUAAGGGACUUGUCCCUUAUGAGAGGUAGUCCUUGGGUAGGACCUACAGGGCAGGCCUAUGACCCUACCAUAGGACUAUAACCCCAUCAUUAGUCCCCGAAUGGAUUGGGAUUGGAACGACGAAGCGAUGCUUGAAGUUUGGAUCCGACUGAUACGGAUGUGACUUUGGCGUUGCCUGCCUCAAUCCAUUUUAUCUUUUCUGACCAACGAUCCGAGUGGAAGUAUUUGUGAAACAAACUGUCGGAAACCGAGUGCUUCCGUGGCAUCUUCUGACGUGACCAGUCAACUGACAGCGGCGGAUUUUCCGGGAUCCUCAAAUUUCGGUUACCGCACGCUCAGCGGGGAUGACGACAUCGCGCUCGAGUAGCGCCUGACGCCUCGAUUCCCGCGCCUUCAUCUUCUCCACUGAUAUCGCCGCGGUCGGUCGGUGGAUAAGAUUUCGGGGCCACUUGCCAGUGACCCAGUCGGAACCUUACUUAAAUCCCAGCGGCGAGGGUUUUUUCGUUACGCUUGUCGGACAUCUCGCCUUUGCUCCGCUUCCUUCGCCAUCCUCUGCGCAUCCUAAGCUUCUUCCUUCUCCUUCUCCCUCGCGAAUCCGUAGCUUCCGCCAUGACAAAGGGGCAGACUAGCAAGCUAGAGGCGCGGAAGAAGAGGGGGAAGGUGGCGGCUCCUGCGCGGAAGCAGCGAACGCUACCGGCGGGGUGGAUCCAGGGGGACUUCCUCCCCUCCACUGUGAUGGAAGAGGACCUGCUGGAGCUGGUGGAGCACGGGCUGAUCGUGCACAAGUCGUGGAGGCUGUCGGCGGAGGGUGAGACCGAGCCGGCGCCCCGGGAGGGGGAGCGCGUCCUGCUGCUCAGCCACAUGCAUUGAGGUUUCUCCUUGCCCCCGCAUCCUUUCUUCAAAGGCAUAAUGAAUCACUUCGGGGCCCAGCUCCACCACUUUCCCCCGAAUGCCAUAGCCCAUCUCUCUGCUUUCGUAGUCUUGUGCGAGUGCUUCAUCGGUUGUCCUCCCCAUUGGGGGCUUUUCAAACAUAUCUUCUCUGCUAGAUCCCAAACUAUCAAACGACUUAAUCAGUCGGAUGAUAAGACUCACCUUCUCUAGCUCUGCGGAGGCUUAGGCUUCCAAAAGAAGAGCAAAGGUAGUUAUCCUGCUCUUCAGCUGAGUGAAUCGGUUAGGAACUGGCAGUCGACAUGGUUCUACUGCCAGGACAUUGCCAGCCCGAAUGCCACGACAGGGUUGCCCCCUUUUAGCUUAGAUCGACCAGCUCCGCCUAAGCAGCUCGCGCUCACGAAGGCGGAGAAGGUCGAAAUCUAGCCUCUGGUCGACGCACUCGUAGAUGUCGUCAGGAAGGGAGUCACCGGUACAGACUUGGUCGAGGUUUUCCUCGGUCGGCGCAUCCAACCACUUCAGGCCCGACACCACGCCAUGUGGCACUACACGGGGCCCGAAGACUCCACUCGGACCAACGUCGUGUGCGUGACCGGGGAGAUGGUGGCGUCGUGGGUGCUCCAGAUCACAGGUGCCUGUGAGAACCCCAGAGGGUCCCGGCGAGUGAGGGCUUUCUGCGCGGACAAUCCUCCUUCGAACCAGGUGAGUACAACUUGUCGAGUGCACAUAACUGUCUUAGUUUUAUCUCUUUCUUGAAUCUCUGUCUGGCGUCUGAUGUCGUCGACUGUAUUUUAUGCAGGUGGACCAACUGGUUCUCCCCUGUCUCGAACGGGAACCCGGCCGGGGAGGAGGAAGAGGACAGCCAGGAGGGCAGCGUGGAGAGUGUCGAGUACGUCUCCGACGGUGGGGAGAUGGAGGAGGAGUCUGGUGAGGAGGAGGAGGAAGACGAAGAGCAGGACUCGCCACCCUCGUCGCCAGAGCAUCGAACCAAGCGCCGACAUGAACCUGCAGCUCCCUCAGCCCCUCCAGCAUCCUCAAGUGCUCCGCCAACUGCUCCUACGGUUCCGAGUGCCCCGUCAACUGUCCCCAGGGUUCCGAGUGCUCGGAGCACCAAGAGGACCAGGGACGCUGCUGCUGAGCCUGCGGGUCAGCCUUCCAAGGUGGCCAAACCAAGCGGAUCUAAACCUCGGAAGGCUUUGCCGCGGAUGAGGGUCGCCGUUCCCGUCACCUCAACGUAAGUGCCUUGUUCUUCUAACUUCUUCUGAUAUUCGAUUGGACUCCUGUUUAUUGUUCGAAUGAAUUUCACUCGACAGAGUUUCUACCUCUGCCACCUCUCCGGCACGCCAGGGGGAUGAUCCCAUGGACGUGGACAAUGUCGUCUCGUCCCAGCCAGGUGCGUCGUAGCGAUUCCGAGAGUUUACAUUAUCGCAUCACGAAUUCUGUCUUCGGUCUUGCCCUUUUUCUUUCUGUGGUCUCACGCCAUUCGGUCGGGUUUCUCUCAGGGGCGAUUUAUGUGGAUGAGGGUGACCAGGGAAGGUCUGAGCAAGCUGCGGUGCCUGUCCUUGAGGCUGUUCCGCCAGUUACUGUUCUCACCGCGGACAUGCCGCCGACUGAGGCGAUGUCGUUGACUGAAACGGCGCUGGUUGCUGCCGAAUCGACUGGAGCGGGCCUUUGGAUGCCUAAGGAGCCUCCAAUGAUGCCAGGCCCGUAGAACGUCGAGUACAACGUCCAGCGCCUCCUAGAAGACCAGGUGGGAGCGGCCAAGGGGGCCAUGGUACAGGCGGAGCUAAUGGCGGGAGAAGCCAAGAAGGCGUACGACUCCAUCGCGUCCCUGUACCAGCGAAGCUUGGAACUGCGGGACGAUAUUCGAGUAAGUGGGCUAGUAAGUAUUUACUUUUCUCUUGUAACCCACUGGGUGUGCUCGGAUAUCGUAUGAUUUUUGCAAUGGGUUCACUCUUAGUGAACCCAGUGGGUGUAGUCCCCGAGACUUCUGUCGAGUGCUUGCACCGGCAGUUGUCUUUAUACACACUGUCUGUGACUUGAUCAGAUCACAAAUUAAUCUGUUGGAAUGUUAACAGUUGGUGCACUCGGAGUGCACCUAUUGGAUGAGUCUCCGAGAGUAAUUUUACUCAGGUCGGGUAGUAGUAGCCUCAUAGGCUUAGGUGUUAUCAUGUAUCUCAAUAGGGCGGACCUGUUUGAGUUUCAUGCCAGUGGAGUCACUCUCAGUGAACCCACUGGGUGUAGUCCCCGAGACCGCUGUUGACUGCUUGCGUCGUCAGGGGUCUGAAGAACUUAGACUUUUUAUUGUUGGAUUUGUCUGAUCGUCUCCUGGCGCUGGCUGGCAGAAAACUUGCGAGAUGGGGACGGCGUACGAGACUCUCAGGGCUGAAAAGGUUCAGUUUGCCGGUGAGCUAGAUGCGGCACUGGUUGCAAUGGCUGGUAUGAAGGAUGUUCUGGCGGAACGAGAGAAGUCCUUGGAGCAGGCCCGUGAAGCAAAAAAGGCAUUGACUGCUGAAGUGGAGAAAAUGAAGGCGCAUAGGUCCGAGCUGAUGGGGCAAAUGAAUGUGCUGAACAAGCGGUGUAUAGCACAGGAAAAUACGUCAGUGACUCGGCCCGGCAGAUGAUAACGCGUCUGGGUGGUAAGUCUUGUUUUUUCGAGUGCUUGUGGUAUGUGCAUUUCACUCGGCGCUUAUUGUUUGCUCGUCCUGUGUUUGUAGAUUUUUGCAUAGAUGUUGAGGCUGAAGCAGCUGACGUGGAGCGGUCGAUUCGUGAGAACAUUCCACUCGGCGAGGACGCCAAUCGAGAUCUGCUCCGAGCGCACAUUCGCGUGGGCAAAGUUGGGCCUUUCAUCGGUCGACUGAGAGAAGUCGUCGGCCGGAUCGACAAGGAGCUUUGGCCUGAGGACAAGUCUCGGCAUGAGAUGGAAGGCUUGAUGACUCGGCUGGAGGAGUGCAGUCAUGGAAGAAGUAUGCGUCUCGCUGUGGUGCGGACGUUGCUUUGUCUCUUGUCCGAGUGCAUUGCAAGGAGGUGCGCGAAGAGAAGCUGAAAGCGUUGCAGGUCGCCAACACGAAGAAACUUCGGUUCGAAGACUUCAUGGAAACCUUCCUUGAGAGCGCCACCCGCAUCGCCGACGGGAUCGAUCUGGACACAUUCGUAGAGCCCGCCAGUCCUAGCGCCAGUCCGGACGACGCUUAAGAAAACUUUUUACCUCGGUAUGCCGAGUGUUGGUUGUAAGAAACUUUGGCCACUGCUGUUGGCCGUCACAUUCUUGGCUCGGUGCGGGUAAGCUUGAUCCACACCGAGCCAACUAUCUUUAGGCGAACUUUGAAUUUGAAUCAAAUCUUUUGCUCUUCUGUUGCCAAAGAGUUGUUGAUACGAUUUUGGCUCGAGUUUUUGUUUGGCAUUUCUUGGUGAAGCCAAUGGCAAACAUGCGGAGCAUGUAAUUGUCAGUUGUCUUGACAUCUGCAUGAGCCUCCCUGAGGGUCUGCUGAUUCUCCGAGUGGAUCUGUAGGAUACACUCGAAGGCAAUAGAGUACUUAGGCGAUUCAUGAUCGCGGCUAAGUCUUCGAGUGCGAAUGUGAGGGCGCACUCGGAUUGAUUUGUUACUCAUGUAAUUGUCAGUGGUCUUGACAUCCACAUGAGCCUCAAUGAGGGUCUGCUACUCAUGUAAUUGUCAGUGGUCUUGACAUCCACAUGAGCCUCAAUGAGGGUCUACUGAGUCCCCGAGUGUAUCUGUAGGAUACAGUCGCAGGAAGCUUUCUCAUUGAAGCGAUUCUUUAUCGCAGUGAAGUCUUCGAGUGUGACGAGUAGUGCACGCUCGGAGAAAAUUUGUACUGAGGCGAUUCUUGAUCACAGCUCAGUCUCCGAGUGCGACGUUUAGUGAACACUCGGAGAAAGUUAUUACUUAGGCGAUUCUUGAUCGCAGCUAAGUCUCCGAGUGCGACGUGAAGUGCACACUCGGAGGAAGUCAGUACUUAGGCGAUUCUGGAUCGCAGCUAAGUUUUUUUUUUGAGACCGGAGUCUGCGACCGCGGAAGAAUUUUGAAUCUGCAAAAGCUCAAUCUGCUUUAUAUUAUUUUACCAAUAGUUGUUCUUUACAUUGCUUCAGUCGACGGUCACGUGUAGAAGCGCUUCAGUAGAUCUCCGUUCCAUGCUCGCGGUUCGUCUGUCUCCCUAUCGAUGUUGUAGAGUCUGUAUGCUCUGUUGUACAGCACCUUGGAGAUGAUGAAGGGUCCUUCCCAGGCAGGAGCCAACUUGUGAGGUCUUUGCCGAUCCACUCGGAGCACCAGGUCGCCUGCUUGGAAUGUGCGACUCCUGGCGUGUUGUGCGUGAAAACGCCGCAGAUCUUGUUGAUAAAUGGUUGAGCGAGUUAGUGCCAUCUCGCGCUCCUCCUCUAGAAGGUCCACUCCGUCUUGUCUUGCUUGUUCUGCUUCAGCUUCAGAGAAGAGUUCGACUCGUGGAGCAUUGUGAAGCAAGUCACUCGGAAGGACUGCUUGUGCUCCGUAAACGAGGAAGAACGGUGAUCACCCUGUAGAUCUGUUCGGGGUUGUGUGAAGACCCCAAAGAACUGAAGGUAGCUCGGUGACCCAUGCGCCAGCGGCAUGUCCCACCUCUCGCAGGAGUCGGGGCUUCAAACCUUGCAGAAUAAGUCCAUUCGCCCGCUCUGCUUGUCCGUUUGAUUGAGGAUGCACCACGGAUGCAAAAUCCACUCGGAUACCUUGGCUUGCACAGAAACCUUUGAAUCUGUCCGAGUCAAAGUUUGUCCCGUUGUCCGUGAUUAUGCUGUGAGGUACACCGAAUCUGGAGAUGAUGUCCCUGACAAACUUGAUGGUUGUUAGGGCGUCGAGCUUCUUGAUGGGCUCGGCUUCAAUCCAUUUUGUGAACUUGUCGACUGCCACCAACAGAUGUGUGUAUCCUCCUUGGCCUGUCCUGAAUGGACCGACUGUAUCUAAUCCCCAUACUGCAAACGGCCACACAAGAGGGAUUGUCUUCAACGCAGAUGUUGGCUUGUGGGACUUGUUGGAGUAGAACUAACAGCCUUCACAUUGGUCGACCAUAUCUUUAGCCAUUUCGUUUGCGUGCAGCCAGAAGAAACCAGCUCUGAAUGCUUUGGCGACGAUUGCUCUCGAAGAGGCGUGAUGACCGCAGGUUCCCGAGUGAAUUCUUCCAGGAUUAACUGUCCCUCCUCUGGGGAGAUGCAUCGUUGAAGAACGCAUGAAACGCUUUCCUCGUACAACUGGCCAUCAAUGACAGUGAACGACUUCGACCUGCGGACUAUCUGCCUGGCCUGGACUUCGUCUUCUGGUAAUUCCUGCCUCAGGAUAUAUGCAAUGAUCGGCACAGUCCAAUCGGGGAUGACAGCAAGAAUCUCCAUGAUCAGAUCAACAACAGUAGGUACAUCGACUUCAGUUGGAUCUGUCAAACUCUUUGGUUGUAUUGGUUCCUCUGUGAAAGGAUCUUCUUUGACUGAGGGAAGGUGGAGGUGCUCGAGGCAGACGUCACUCGGGACUGGUCUCCGAGUGGAUCCGAGUUUUGCCAACUCAUCAGCUGCUUGGUUCUUCAGUCGCGGAACAUGGUGGAGUUCUAGACCUUCAAACUUCUUCUCGAGCUUCCUCACUGCAUUGCAGUAUGUGGUCAUGGUGGGGUUCCUGACGUCCCACUCUUUCAUCACUUGAUUAACCACCAAAUCCGAAUCGCCAUAGACCAUCAGGCGACGGACGCCGAGUGCGAUGGCCAUGCACAGUCCAUAAAGGAGAGCUUCAUACUCUGCCUCAUUGUUGGAGGAAUCAAAGUGUAUCUGCAGCACAUAUUUGAGUUUGUCGCCCUUUGGCGAUACGAUCACAACGCCAGCGCCGGAGCCAUUCAACAUCUUGGACCCAUCGAAGAACAUUGUCCAAUGAGCCGAGUAGAUGUGGGUCGGUUGCUGUUGUUCUACCCAUUCUGCUAUGAAGUCAGCCAGGGCUUGAGACUUUAUAGCUUUCUUGGCUUCGAACUUGAUAUCGCAGUACAACAUCUCCAUUGCCCACUUCGCCACUCGGCCCGACGCGUCGCGAUUGUGGAGGAUUCCCGCCAACGGAGCAUCAGAAACGACAAACACCGAGUGGUCUUGGAAAUAAUGGGCCACCUUCUUCGCAAUCAUGUAAAUCCCGUAGAUAAGUUUUUGAUAGUGGGGAUACCUCUGCUUGGAAGGAGUCAGGACUUCGGAGACGUAAUACACUGGCUGCUGAACUUUGUAUGCUUUGCCUUCUUCUUCUCGUUCGACUGUAAGAACAGUGCUGACGACUUGAUUUGUAGCCGCGAUAUACAGAAGAAGGGGCUCUUUACUGAGCGGAGCAGUAAGAACCGGCUGGGUGGAAAGUAGGACUUUGAGGUCGUCGAAUGCGACUUGGGCUUCAUCUUUCCACUCGAAAGUAUCUGAUUUCUUCAUGAGUCGGUACAGAGGAAGUGCUUUCUCGCCGAGUCGACUGAUAAACCUGCUCAAACCGCUAGGCAACCUGUGAGUCGUUGAACAUCGUGUAUUCUGACCGGCCUCUCCAUGCGGACGAUGGUCCCGAUCUUUUCGGGGUUGACAUCGAUCCCUCGUUCGGAAACGAAGAAACCGAGUAACUUUCCGCUGGGAACGCCGAAUGAACACUUGGCGGGGUUGAGCUUGAUAUCGUACCUACGAAGGUUGGCGAAUGUUUCUGCCAAGUCGGUCAGCAGGUUGGAACCUUUGCGUGACUUGACUACGAUAUCAUCCAUAUAAGCCUCCAGAUUCCGACCGAUCUGGUCGAGGAGGCAUUUUUGGAUCAUGCGCAUAAAGGUAGCUCAUGCAUUCUUCAAACCGAAUGGCAUAGUGAUGUAGCAGAAGCACCCGAAUGGGGUGAUGAAGGCUGUUUUUAAUUCAUCGGGGCCAUACAGACGGAUCUGAUGAUAGCCCGAGUAGGCAUCAAGAAAUGACAAACGCUCGCAACCCGCAGUCGAAUCGACAAUUUGAUCGAUGCGGGGGAGCGGAAAAUGGUCUUUCGGGCAGACCUUAUUGAGAUGCUUGAAGUCGAUGCACAUUCUGAACGACUUGUCCUUCUUGGGCACCAUGACAACAUUGGCGAGCCACUCGGAGUGGUGAACCUCGCGAAUGAAGUUGGCUGCCAAAAGCUUGGCCACCUCUUCUGUGAUUCCCUUCCUCUUGUGCGCGGCGGACCGACGCAGGCGUUCUCGGACAGGCCGAGCGGUGGGAUCCACAUGCAGUCCGUGCUCAGCCAACUCCCUGGGUACACCUGGCAUGCCAGAGGGUUUCCAUGCAAAGAUGUCCCAGUUCUCACGGAGGAAUUGGGUGAGCUCGGCUUCCUAUUUAGGAUCGAGGGUGGUGGAGAUGUUCGUCGGGGCAGCAGUGUCGUCCGUCGGGUGGAUGCUGACCUUUUUCGUCUCUCCCGCCGACUGGAAUGCAGACUCCGGAGCUGGCUUCUUCGAAUGCAUCAAGUCAGCGGGGUCGACUGUUUUCUUGUACUCGUCAAGCUCGAGGACGGCCAUCUGCUGGUCGGCGAUUCUUGAUCCCUGCUGCAAACACUCUUCGGCCCGCUGUCGAUUGCCUGUGAUAGUGAUCACACCUUUCGGGCCUGGCAUCUUCAGCUUCAGGUAUACGUAACAUGGACGGGCCAUGAAACGCGCAUACGCCGGGCGGCCCAGAAUUGUGUGGUAAGCGCUCUGGAAGUCCACCACCUCGAACGUCAGCUUUUCCUUGCGGAAGUUCUUGUUGGAGCCGAAAACGACGUCCAACGCGAUCUGGCCGAGUGACUUGGCCUUCCAUCCAGGGACGACUCCAUGGAACUGCAUGCUUCUCUCACUGAGUUUGGACAUCGGAAUGCCCAUCCCCUUGAGAGUGUCGGCGUACAUGAUGUUCAAGCCACUGACACCGUCCAUGAGGACUUUGCGCAGUCAAACUCCUUCCACCACCGGGUCGACGACCAGAGCCUGUCUCCCUGGGGUGGGUACGUGUGCCGGAUGAUCCGACUGGUCAAAGGUGAUCGCAGUCUGAGACCAUUUGAGGAACUUGGGUUGGUAGGGGUGGCCAUGUUCACCUCCCUGUUCACCAGCUUCAGUCGACUCUUGCUCUCAACGUCAGCAAAAGUCAUCAGUGUUGCAUGGACUUGGGGGAACGGACCCUCCUUAUCCUCCUCGUCCUGUUCAUUGUCCUUUUCACUCGGUUGCCCUUCGCCGAACCCCUGGAUCAGGAGGCGACACUGUCGAGUGGUAUGCUUCGGAUAUAUGGGGUUGCCCUCUUCAUCCAUCUUCGUAUGAAUCGGACACGGCUGGUCCAGGAUGGGAUUAUUGAACUGCUUCUUCUUGGGGGUGAACUGAGCCUUCCCUUUGCCCUUGAACUUGGCGUUGCUUACAGCUGCAGCCUCUGCCUGCGGAGUGGACGGAGCUUUCUGCUUCUGCUUCCGAGUGUUGCUCCCAUCUCCAUCGGCGACUGUUUUGUGCUUGCCGCUUCGGAUGCGGUCCUCUUCUUCGCCAUUUGCAUAGCGUGCCGCUAUCUCCAUCAUCUUGCUCAUGGAGAUGUCGCCUGUUCGGCCAAACUUCAGGUACAGAUCCCUGUACCGCACGCCUACCUUGAAAGUGCAGAUUGCUUGAUGCUCUGUGACGUUCUCCACCGUGUGGUAGAGGGUUGUCCAACGCUGAAUGAAAUCACGCAGGGGCUCAUUCUCCUUCUGGACGCAAUGCUGGAGCUCCACGAGGCCAGCAGGGCGCUUGCACGUCCCUUCGAAGGUCCUGAUGAACACUCGGGCCAGGUCUGCCUAGCUGUAGAUGCUUGAGGGGGCCAACUGGUUCAGCCACGCUCGCGCCGAGCCGUCGAGCAUCAGAGGGAGGUGCUUCAUGGCGACAUGGUCGUCCCCUCCUCCGAUCUGGACUGCCACUCGGUAAUCAUCCAGCCACGUUUCUGGCUUGGACUCUCCUGUAAACUUGCUGAUUCCCGUUGCCAGUCGGAAGUUGGGAGGGAUGUCAGCCGAACGGAUGGCUCGACUGAAACACUCGGGACCAGAAACGAUGGUCCUGCUUCCACUCGGACGGUCAAUAUCGUAACCAUCGCGGUGGGCUCGGCCCCUGUCGACCCUCCGCUGGGCGAUAUGCCCUCUUGCGUCGGGUCUUGGGUCGUAAGUGUCACCGACUGAACGCCGAUCAUCAUGAUGUCGGGGCCCGUACGGCCCACCCCGCGGAGGGGUGCGUGAACGGCGACGAUCUUCGGGGUUUAUGGAACGGCUGUCUCCCCUGUGUCGCCGAUGAGAACCAGGGCUGUGAACUGACCGAUGCGUAUUCGCAUGAACAGAACUAUUGUGGAUCCUGUUGUGCGACUGAGAGACCGCCGAAUUUUGCUGUUGCGUCGUGUGCAACAGGGCACGGAUUUGCUCGAUCCCCCUGCCAGCCUCUGAAUCAGUCGGCUGAAGGGAAUUGGCAAUCUUGGCAGCCGCAGCCAAGUUGAGGAUGGGUGUGCGGAACGACUCCACAUUGCUCCGCCGAGUGUGCCGGCUGGCAGAACGGCGAGGCGGACGACGCGCGCCGGAUGUUUCGCCGAUCUCGUGCUCGUUCCGGCCAGCUUGACGGGGAUCUUCAUGGGAGUUGGCCAUGUGUACUUCUGCUGCAGGCCCGCGACCCGCGUACUCGGAAGGAAACUCAGUCGGAACCGAGUCCGAGCGCUGGGACGGAGGGGCAACCACAACCGACUCUAGGACCGCCACUUGUGAAGACGCGUUCUGGCGUGCCUGGGCGUGUCGCACCCAACGCUGGAGCCGCGGACGGCGGGACCGCUUGUUGCGGCGCGUGACGGCGGUGUAGGUCGACACCGGAGCCGACUGUUGGAGAAGAAGAAGAACGCCGCAGGCGCCGGCACGGAAGUGCGUAGCCCCGUGGCGGGAAAGCGCCUCGAUAUCGAGAGGAGCAUCCCGAAGCCAUGCUGAAUCGUCGAUGAUGAAGGAGAGAGCGCCGAAGAGGAUCUCGUGACCCAUGCUCGAAUCUCCACCGGACGACAUGACGAAACGAUGUAGUCGCAAACUCGCCGGAAGUCGCGUAGACGCCUGCCCCACGGUGGGCGCCAACUGUCGUGGGUAUAAGCCUGACAGUAUAUGUGUAGGGUACGAAAGGAUGGGCAGAGCCUUAGCUACGGCGAGGUUGUAUGAGUUCAGGCCCCUCUGCGGUGGAGGUAAUAGCCCUAUGUCUCAGUGCUCUGGGAGCUUGUUGUCGAGUGGAAUAUAGAAUACAGUGAAUUGCUAACCCCUGCACCAGUGGGGGAGGGUGGCUUAUAUAGAGUGCGCUGCCCUCCACAACGGUUCGGUGCACAGGGGUGGAGUAGUGGCGAAUAAAUGCCUACGUUACAGGUAACGUACGUCUUAAAUGCUAAUAAAGGCACGGGGAAACGUAUGACCGUUUCCCUCCAGGGGGGUUACGAUGCUCGGAGUGGAGUCCAGUCGGUUAGUUUGAUACGCUCCGAAUGCUAGUCUCCGACUGGAUGGUCGAAGACCUGUUACCGACUGGAUGAUGGCAACUCCUUAGUUCAGUCGGAACUGACUAAGGGCCUUGUCCCUUAUGAGGGGUAGUCCUUGGGUAGGACCUAUAGGGCAGGCCUAUGACCCUACCCUAGGACUAUAACCCCAUCAAAGAGAAAGUAAGGUACAGUGCUUUGGCAUUCUCUCUGUUCACAACGCUGAUCCCUCGAUCGUCUGAUCGAACGGGCUCAUAAACAUACAAUUAGUCUCCACUGAAUAUCCUGGUUUCAUGUUGUAUCGACGUGCUUGAUUAGGAACCUUAAUUAUUAGGCUAGACUAGUGCUACGUGUAUUUCUUAGUCAGUCAGUGACCUGAUUAAUCUAAACAUUUGGUGCAUGCAUAUGGUUGGCCAAAACCUAGGACUCUGAACGUCAGAGUACACACUACACGACUAGGACAUGUGGUUUACUUAGUAGACCAGUACUGCAUGCAUCAUUAUCUUUUGCUGUUUAAUUUGGCAGAAAUCACAGAAGCUUAUUUCAAUGGCGCAUGCAAAAAUCCAACGAAACGAUUGAAAACUUGAGUUGCGAGCUGAACGCUCAAUAAUAGAACGAUUUUCCUAUACGCUGCAACUAGCUUGGCUUAUUUCUAAAAAACAUUAUGUUCAUAUUCAGCCCCCAUUGAAAAUUGCCACUGUCCUAUAUUGUUGUCCAUGUAUUACAAUAUAACCGAUUAUUAGCUCAGAGUAGGCAGACCAAAUGGUUAUUAGCUCGAGGCACAAGCAAUCAUUCAGUAUGACAACCUAUCACAUGGUGUCAUCAUACUCUUGGCCGAUGACAAGAAGCAGGUCGAGGACCAGGACCAUCUUACCUUAAAGGAGCAGAGCAGGUCGAGAACGAAGAGGAGCAUCGACACUCUUCGUCGCUGAGGCUAAGCAAGCCCUUUCAUCUCUCCUCCUCGAGAAGGACAAGGCUACCAUAGUCGUUAUAAUACAUGGCUGCAAAGAAGAAGCAGAGUCAAAAUAAAAUGUUAUGACAAAUGAUAAAGAGGUAUUAAUUAAGUACAAACAAUAAAAACUCACAUGUCACAACAAUCAUACUACAAUCACACCUCAAAACUCACAAUAUUGUGAGUGGCCUAUUCUUCCCAGAUCCUGGCUUGUUUGCUGCAAGCACCUCUCCACCAACAUAUAACAACAGAGUUAAUAAAACUAUGUGUGAAGGAAUAAAGUCAAACAUUUUGAACGGAAGGUGUCAAGCAACUGCGGAUGCAUUAGUUACCUCGCGCAUUUUCUGCACUUCAUCAGGAAUACUGCAGUUUGCGGCAGAUUUGUCGAACAUUUCAAGUAUCCUGAAGGCUCGAUUCCUCGCAUCGUUCAUAUCUGAAGCAGACAAUAUCUCCUUGACAAUUAGCUCCGCCCAUUCAGUGUUGUUGGUUGGAGCAUUCAUCACCGGAACAUCACAUGCCACUGCGAUUAACAAUCAUUCUAGUGUUAGACAAUAUGCACACUGUAAGAUUCUUGUUUUGAGAAACUGCAUAUUGUAAGAUUAGUGUUGGUCUACAUAAGUUAUACAUCUUCGGACAUCAUUAUCAGAUAACAAGAGGAACAAGUAGUCAGGCUUAUUUUUCAGUCAUGCCAGCCAUACCUCCAGACGAGGAGGUACCAGCAUUGGUCGUUGCUGAAUCCGAUGCCAAAUAACCCUUGAAGCUUCUGAUGGCAGCAUCCAAGACAUUUCCCGACGCUUCGAGAUAGCCUCACAGAAGCUAAAAAUGCCCCCAAAAUUACUCAUCAGAAUGGUACGGAGCAAUACGGUACACAAGGAUCAGGGCCCUCAAGUCUACUGUUGUGACAUAACAUAAACCAAAGCUAUAUCAGGAUUUCAGAAAACCAUGGUAGAACUUCUGUGCACAAGAGAAACGGAUGUACGUACAUGCUAUUUGUUCUGACAUGUUUAGUUGAGACAUUUUAUUUCUGAAAUCCUAAAUUUAGCCAUCAUACACGCAUAGACAGGAAUCAUCCUCAUGGGAAGCGUUUGGCUCGCGCAAGAGGGGAAUAGUUGUGGACGAUUCUUCUGAACUUUUGAUUUACAAUUCCAUUAAUCUCUAAACUCUAGUCUAGUCUAAUUCAAGAAAUGGGAUAUGAAUCGGCAAAAGAAAAGAAAAAGGAAAUUCCCUGAUUUGUUGAAUUGUAAACCUUUUCAGCGAGUGAUGAUGAUAAACAAAACCAUUUUGCUGAAUCGUAAAAACAGGCAGUGAUGCUUAUCAGGUUGGUAACUUCCCACUGAUGAUGAUAAUAAGAUGGUAACAGUAAUUAGACACUGCAUCACAGCACAAACGAGGAAUCUUACUACCACAUAUCACAGGCUAAUUAUAAGAAACUAGCACAUCUCUACACCUUCAGAUCAAAAACUAGGAAUAGCCCCCCUAUCACCACGGAUGGCACAAAGGUGUGUCCCUGAAGAGGCCGACGAGGCAGGCCCCGGCGCCCUCCUGUAGCACGAAGACGGCAGAGCUCUGAAUAAUGCGGUUUUCACAGCAAAGUUGUGCAUUAAUUAAAGAGAAUAGAAUCAUAUAACCUUGGAACAAUAAGAAACGCAACGGCGGCAGUUGAGUUGAUGUUUGCUAGGUAUACUUCAGGAGUCAUCACUCAUCAACCAUAUCAUGGAGGGCUGAUUUGAAUGGUUAGUAGAGUAGUUUAGUCAAAACAAAAUUUCUGGAUGCACUCUCAUUAGAAAUGCAACAACCAAGUUACUCAACAAAAAGGAAUGAAUACUAAACUUCUGAUAAUUUCGACAAAUGCAAUGGUUCAGAAUAAGAGUAAGACAUACUGUGGGGCUCUAUGUCAAGAAGCCAGUGACCUACAGAUUUCAGAAACUUCCAUUGUUGCACUACCUAGCAAACAUCACGGAGGCAAGCCUACUAAUCAUGAGGUGGACCAAACUGAAAACUGAAAAUCCUAUCAAGUGCAUGGAUCACGCUAAGAAACUGUUGGUAGAUUUUUCAGAUUUACAAACACGUAGCUAAACAAGGGUAACAUCAUGGAGCACAAAAUUAAGAUCAGAUAUCAAACUUUCACAUGACUGAUGGUAACAAGACGGUAAUAAGGUCUCCCACACCAAACAUCCUUGAUAAACAGGAACAUCAACAAGCCCCAAACUGAAACUACUUCCAAAAGAAAUACCCAUCUAAUUCAGAUUCCUUAAAGGGAGGAACACCAGAACAUCAGUCGAUUUAGAGACGGCUCAGCUUAGAUCAUAUGUAGCACAAUAAUAUAUAUCUAAAAAAAGCGAGCAACCACAUUUUGUUUUCGUUCUAGAUUCAUUAGUACAGCCAACUACACCACAUAGCACGUAGCACUGUAGGAACCACAAGUCUGACCAAACUGAAUAUGAAUAGAAGGGCAUGGCAGGCAGCAGAUAAAUCUGAAACCACAUGUGUGCAUGAUAAAGUAAAAGACUGAUGAAAAGGAUUGCAUGCAUGAUUAACUAAACCACAAGUCACUGCAGGUCGUUGGCCCGGCAUGAGGUUCGGCGUUCGACUUUCCUGACAGAGAGCUGCUAUUGUACCCAUGGACAUGGAAUACUCCUCGUGCUGCUAAAUAACAAGAAGGUCUCAUCGCGUCCUGAAGCAGCACAUCACAACGAGUGUGGGGGAGGAAGGUCCAUGGCAUCCUCCUCCGAGGGCGACCUUGAUCUGUUGGAUUUGGGAGGGAGAGGAGAGGUGAGGAAGAACCUACUACAGAGAGAGGGGGAGGGAGGGAUGAUGGUGGUCAUACGAGAUCAGGUGUCAUCAUGUAUGGGCUCCUCCUAUGCUGCGUGCAAGGUCGACAUGGCACCGGGCUUGUCCUCCAUGGCGUCCUCCUUGACCACACGGGACAGGAUGCAAACAAGCAAACAAACAAAAAUGCACAAAACAAUCAGAUUUGAUCCAAAGUAGAAGCAAUCGAGGAGGACGAGCAAGGGAUGAUCCAUAACAGAUCGAUUCUGGUCGCCAUGGCUGGGAUCCUCCUACGCUUGUGCGGGCUAGGGUUUCAGUAUGUGCUGCUGGAAAGAAGGAUAGGGUGGGUCUUGGGGAGAGCAGGUCGGCACCGAUGCCGUGGCCGGCGGGAGGGAUGGGGGAGAGGAGAUCUACGACAGGGUUGGGUUGGGUUGCGGGAGGGGUGGGGGAGAGGAGAUCGGCGGCGGGGUUGGGUUGGGUUGCGGGAGGGAGGUGGAAGACACACAGGAGAGAGACUCGAGUUGGUAGGAGAGGGAGGAGGGUGUGUCAUGCGCUAGGUUUAUCGAGGAGAGGUGAUGAGACGUUGGAUCUGUAGGACAUGGACGGCUCAGAUCGCCUUUACUAGGGUGAUCUGUGGGCUCUAUUCUGAUUGGUUAGACAUGUGCCUUUAUAAACUUGUUUUUUAAGUGUUAAAAACAGAGGAGAUAUAUGAAGCAACUAUCAAAAACAUUUUGCAAAACGGCACCAUUAAUUUUUAGGUGCAUCUUGGAAUGGAAAACAAUGUUGCCUAAGAACGUUUUCAUUUUCAUUGGACGAAAAAGUCAUUUUCCAAUUUUUGACUGUCCAGAAUAAGUUUUUUUGUGAAGGGCCUAUCAUAUAUUUGUUGCAAAAUUGGAUCAAAUCAUUUUUAUAAAAUACUAGGUCAUAUUUAAUGCACAAUUGACCAAAUGAUUGGGUGUCAAAAGCUUUUAUCCACCUCUCGUGAAAAAGACAAAUUUCCGCCGAUUUAACUUGAAGCGAGUCAAAUUUGAACCGCAACUGUCUUAUAGUUUACUCUUUAUUUUUUCCAAAAAUAUUCUCUAGGUACAAAAGUAUCUAUUUAAUCAGAUAAACACCAAAAAAAUUCCAAGAUUCAACCACUAGAUAGGAACGGUCAUACCCGCUGUUUUGACCGUAUUUUGAAACACGCAUGAAAAAUUCAAAACCAAAUCAAAAAAUUGAAAAACCUUCGCAUUGUGCCAUUAAAUAUAACCAAGUUAUGAGGAAAAAUAAUAAACUUGUAAUACGAUAAUUAUUUAAAAAAAUGUUCUGAGAAAUGAGCUAUCAUGUGUGAAGACCACAAACCAGCCCAUUAGCAAGCAUGGAGGAUAAAAUACCAACCCAAUAUAAAAGUAAGAUGAAAAAAUAGCCCAACAGAAAGUGGUAUAAAAAACAGUUCAAUACAUGGAUGAGGUGGGAUAGAAUGAACCCACGAGUGACAUAUCAACAUAGUUAAAACAUGUAACGACAUUUUUAUAAUCGUCAUAAAAGUUAUGAUGAUCUCAUCUUAUGCGGUUACGACGUUUUUGACUCACAUCGUUGUAAUUUGUAUGUAGAUUUGAUCCCCUCAAAAGGUUUACGGCGAUCUCGGAUGAAAUCGUCAUAGAUAUAUGACGAAUUCAUCAACGACAUCUUAAAAAACGUCAUGUAUGAGCAUAUUUCUUGUAGAGGGAGGCAGCCCCACGCCUUAGGGUUUUAGCCCUAGGCGCAUUGGGCCCUUUUGGUGGCUCGCACCAGCCAACGAAGGAGCUGGUUCCCUCCCACUUUCGUCCCAUGUGGUCCUCCCGGGACAGGUGGACCCUCCGGUGGACCCCUGGUACCCUUUCGGUGGUCCCGGUACAAUACCGAUAAACCUCGAAACCUUUCCGGUGACCAAAACUGGACUUCUCAUAUAUAAAUCUUUACCUCUGGACUAUUUUGGAACUCCUCGUGACGUCCGGGAUCUCAUACGGGACUCCAAAAAACUUUUCGUAACCACAUAUACAAUUCCCAUUACAACUCUAGCGCCACCGAACCUUAAGUGUGUAGACCCUAUGGGUUCGGGGUUUGUGAAGUUGGUACUCAACAUGUAACCCCUAUUCCCUAUGUUAGGUUGUUUGUUAGGCCAUUAGGUAAAGUGUCGGAUCAAUUUCCCCAUUGCUCACUCAUACGUCUCCAACGUAUCUAUAAUUUUUGAUGGUUUCAUGUUAUUAUAUUGUCAAACUUUGGAUGUUUUGCGUGCCUUUUAUUUAUUUUUUGGGACUAACUUAUUAACUCAGCGCCAAGUGCCAAUUCCUGCUUUUUUCCAUGUUUUUCACCCCUUUCAGAGGAGAUUUUGAAACGGAAGAAAAUCCCCGAAAAGAUUUUUUUUGGAACGGAAGAAGAUUAGAGAACUUGGGAGGCAAGGCAGGGGAGCCCCAGGGGCCCCACAAGCCCCCACCCCGCGGCCAGGGGUGGUGCGCCAUCCAGGCUUGUGGGCCCCCUGGAGGACUAUAUAAUCCCAAAAAUUCCAGAAAAAAUCAGGAGAUCAUCGAAAGUACUUUUCCGCCGCCGCAAGCUUCUGUCUCCGCAGGAUCCCAUCUGGGGCGCGUUCUGGUGCCCUGCCGGAGGGGGGAUUCGGACACGGAGGGCUUCUUCAUCAACACCAUGACAUCUCCGAUGAUGCGUGAGUAGUUCACCAUAGACCUACGGGUCCAUAGCUAGUAACUAGAUGGCUUCUUCUCUCUCUUGGAUCUUCAAUACAAAGUUCUCCAUGAUCUUCAUGGAGAUCUAUCCGAUGUAAUCUUAUUUUGCGGUGUGUUUGUCGAGAUCCGAUGAAUUGUGGAUUUAUGAUCAGAUUAUCUAUGAAUCUUAUUUGAGUUUCUUCUGAUCUCUCUUAUGCAUGAUUUCAUAUCCUUGUAAUUCUCUUCGAGUUGCGGGUUUUGUCUGGCCAACUAGAUCUAUGAUUCUUGCAAUGGGAGAAGUGCUUGGUUUUGGGUUCAUACCGUGCGGUGACCUCACCCAGUGAUAGAAGGGGUAGCGAGGCACGUAUCGUGUUGUUGCCAUCAAGGGUAAAAAGAUGGGGUUUUCAUCAUUGGUUUGAGAUUAUCCCUCUACAUCAUGUCAUCUUGCUUAANNNNNNNNNNNNNNNUCUCCGAUGAUGCGUGAGUAGUUCACCAUAGACCUACGGGUCCAUAGCUAGUAACUAGAUGGCUUCUUCUCUCUCUUGGAUCUUCAAUACAAAGUUCUCCAUGAUCUUCAUGGAGAUCUAUCCGAUGUAAUCUUCUUUUGCGGUGUGUUUGUUGAGAUCCGAUGAAUUGUGGAUUUAUGAUCAUAUUAUCUAUGAAUCUUAUUUGAGUUUCUUCUGAUCUCUCUUAUGCAUGAUUUCAUAUCCUUGUAAUUCUCUUCGAGUUGUGGGUUUUGUCUGGCCAACUAGAUCUAUGAUUCUUGCAAUGGGAGAAGUGCUUGGUUUUGGGUUCAUACCAUGUGGUGACCUCACCCAGUAACAGAAGGGGUAGCGAGGCANNNNNNNNNNNNNNNNNNNNNNNNNNNNNNNNNNNNNNNNNNNNNNNNNNNNNNNNNNNNNNNNNNNNNNNNNNNNNNNNNNNNNNNNNNNNNNNNNNNNNNNNNNNNNNNNNNNNNNNNNNNNNNNNNNNNNNNNNNNNNNNNNNNNNNNNNNNNNNNNNNNNNNNNNNNNNNNNNNNNNNNNNNNNNNNNNNNNNNNNNNNNNNNNNNNNNCUUACACUUUUUACUUCGUUGCACUUUCCGCCUUCAGAUCUCACUUUGCAAACAAUCUUGAAGGGAUUGACAACCCCUUUGAAGCGUUGGGUGCAAGCUUGUUUGUGUUUGCGCAGGUACUUUGGACUUGACGAGGCCCUCCUUCUGGUUCGAUACCUUGGUUCUCAAACUGAGGGAAAUACUUACUGCUCCUGUGCUGCAUCACCCUUUCCUCUUCAAGGGAAAAACCGACGCAAACCAGAGAAGUAACAAGAAGAAUUCCUACGCGCCAGGGAAGGACUUUUGUUGCCGCAGCAGAAGAAUUUCUGGCUCCGUUGCCGGGGAGGAAGGUCAAGUCAAGGACUCAUCCAAGUAGGUGUCGCAAACUCAUCUCUUGCAUUUACUUUGUUUGCCAGUUGCCUCUCAUUUUCCUCUCCCCCACUUCACCAAAUUGCCUUUUUCGUUUGCCUUUCCUUUCCUUGUGUGCUAUGUUCCUUCAAAAUGCUUGCAUCUUUGCUUGCUAAGAAUCUAGUGAUAUGGAUGCUCAUCCACUUGCUAAUCUUUUCAAGAGGUCCAACUAUGUUGAACAAAUUGCUAGUGAGUUUUGUGCACUAGAUUAUCUUUAUGGAGUUUUGCUUGACAUGCGUGAAUCUGAAAAUUGUGAUGAGGAAAUUUAUGAAGUGAUUCACGAGGGCUCCUUGGAUGAAAAGCAUGAUUACAAUGGUUUCACUAUAAAUUCUAUUAGUGACAAUCAUGCUAAAAAUAUGCAAAACCCUAAGCUUGGGGAUGCUAGUUUUGCUAUGUCCUCUAUUGGUUGCAAUGAUCAUGAUUGGGGUGAUGAUCUUUCUUAUGAUCUUGAAAAUUUGUUUAAGCCUCUUGAUGAAUAUGAUGUUUGCAAUAUUAUUGAAAGUGGGUUUGGAGACGUCAUGACUUUAGUUGAUGAUAAUCCCACUAUUUUUGAAGAGCGUCAACUUUGCAUGCAUGUGGAUCAUGAAAAGAAUAUCCUACAUGAUAGUUACAUUGUUGAAUUUGAUUAUGAUCCCACAUGUGUUUGCUAUGAGAGAGGAAAAUAUUUUGCUAGAAACUUUCAUGUUACCAAAUUACCUCUCGUUAUGUUGAGAUUGCUAUUGUCUCUUUCUUCUUCCUUGCAUUUGGUAACUAUUGGUUGUCUUGCCAAUUUGUUUUCCUAUAAAAUGCCUAUGCAUAGGAAGUAUGUUAUACUUAGAUGUGAUUUUCACAUGCUUUAUGAUGCUCUCGUUGUUCUUCAACUCUUGUCUUUUGUGUGAGCAUCAUUGAUGCCUAGCUAAGGGCGUUAAACAAUAGCGCUUGUUGGGAGGCAACCCAGUGAAUUUAUCUUUUUCUUUCUGUUUUGUUGCGUCCACACUUUCAUAAUUCUGUUGUGAUUGUGUUUUUUGUGUUUCUUUUUGUGUUUGAGCCAAGCAAAACCUUUAUGACUAGUCUCGAUAAUGGUUGUUUGAUCCUGCUGGAAAAAGACAGAAACUUUUCGCUCACGAGAUGAUUUUUCAUUUUUAUUCAGAAAUAGAUUUUGAGUUGAUUCUUUUUGCUGCGGAUAUAUAUGCUUUUUUCCCAGGCCGUCGUAAAUUUUUCAGAUUUUUUGAGGUACCAGAAGUAUAUGAAGUAUACAGAUUGCUACAGACUUGUCUGUUUUUGACAAAUUAUGUUUUUGUUGAGUUGGUUGCUUGUUUUGAUGAAACUAUGGUUAGUAUCGGGGGGUACUAGCCACGGAAAAGUGAGAAUACAGUAGCCCAUCAUCAAUAUAGAUGGAAUUCAAGUUUGCUACAGUACCAAAAGAAGUGGUAGUUUGUUUUCUUGUACUAAUGUUAUCACAAGUUUCUGUUUAAGUUUUGUGUUGUGAAGUUUUCAAGUUUUGGGUGAUGUUCUCAUGGACAAAGAGAUAAGGAGUGGAAAGAGCUCAAGCUUGGGGAUGCCCAAGUCAUCCCAAGCCAAAUUCAAGGACACCAAAAAGCCUAAGCUUGGGGAUGCCCCGGGAAGGCCUCCCCUCUUUCGUCUUCAAUCCAUCGGUAACAUUACUUGGAGCUAUAUUCUUAUUCACCACAUGAUAUGUGUUUUGCUUGGAGCGUCUUGUAUCAUAGGAGUCUUUUCUUUUUGUUGUGUCACAAUCAUCCUUGUUGCACACCUUCUUGAGAGAGAGAGACAUGCACUCAUCGUGAUCUUGCUAGAAUGCUCUAGUGCUUCACUUAUAUCUUUUGAGCUAGAUACUUUUGCUCUAGUGCUUCACUUAUAUCUCUUGAGCUAGAUACUUUUGCUCUAGUGCUUCACUUAUAUCUUUUGAGAUAGAUACUUUUGCUCUUGUGCUUCACUUAUAUCUUUAGAGCACGGCGGUGCGUGAUUUGGUAGUUGGCUUAUGCUAUGGAAGUAGUCCCAAUUGUGCUAGGUACCCAAAGAGGAUGCAAAACCCUCCAUCUUCAUGUGCAUUGGGUAGAAAGAGAAGUUUCGAUUCCUAUCAAUUAGUUUUGAGACAUGGAUUCGGUAAUAUUAAGAGUUAUGUUAGUAGGGUGUUGUGAAUCUAGAGAUACUUGUGUUCGAGUUAGUGAUUCCCGUAGCAUGCACGUAUGGUGAACCGCUAUGUUAGGAAGUCGGAGCAUAAUUGAUCUAUUGAUUGUCAUCCUUUGUGUUGAGGUCGGGAUCGCGCGAUGGUUUACACCUACCAACCCUUCCCCUCGGAGUAUGCGUUUAGCACUUUGUUUCGAUUACUAAUAAAAACUUUCGCAACAAGUAUGUGAGUUCUUCAUGACUAAUGUGAGUCCAUGGUAUAUAUGCACUUUCACCUUCCACCUUUGCUAGCCUCUCUAGUGCCGCACAAUUCUCGCCGGUGCACAAGCCCACCAAAUUCCUUCCUCAAAACAGCCACCAUAUCUACCUACUAUGGCAUUUUCAUAGCCAUUCCGAGAUAUAUUGCCAUGCAACUACCACCGUUUCGUCUCAUGACUUAUGCUGUCACUCUCAUAUUGCCAUUGCAUGAUCAUAAGAUAGCUAGCAAGAUGUUUCAACGUCAUACGCCAUGCUAGAUCGUUGCACAUCCCGGUACACUACCGGAGGCAUUUCCUAUAGAGUCAUCACCAUUUUGAGCUGUGAGUAAAUAAAGGUGUGAUGAUCAUCCUUAUUAGAGCAUUUUCCCAUGUGAGGAAAUAAAAAAAAAGAGCCCAAAGAGCCCAAAAACAAAAAAAGGGAGAAAAGAAGAGAAAAAAAAGGGAGGCCUAAGAGCCCAAAUGAAAAAAAGAGAAAAAAGAGAAAAAAGAGAGAAGGGACAAUGCUACUAUCUUUUUCCACACUUGUGCUUCAUGUUAGCACCAUGUUCUUCAUGAUUGAGAGCUUCUUGCUUUGUCACUACCAUAUGCUAGUGUGAAUCUUCAUUUUAUAACUUGGCUUGUAUGUUCCAAUGAUGGGCUUCCUCAAAAUUUCCCUAGGUCUUCGUGAGCAAGCAAGUUGGAUGCACACCCACUAGUUUUCCUUUUGAGCUUUCACAUACUUAUAGCUCUAGUGCAUCUAUUGUAUGGCAAUCCCUACUCAUUCACAUUGAUAUCUAUUAAUCGGCAUCUCCAUAGCCUAUUGAUAUGCCGAGUCAGUGUGACCAUCUCCUCCUUUUUUGUCUCACAACCACCACCACACUCUAUUCCACCUAUAGUGUUAUAUCCAUGGCUCGCGCUCAUGUAUUGCGUGAUAGUUAUAAAAAGAUUGAGAAAGUAAGAGUGCGAAAACAAUUACUUGGCCAAUUCCGAGGUUGUUCAUGAUUUACAUUAGUUGUGUGAGGAUGAUGGAGCAUAGCCAGACUAUAUGAUUUUGUAGGGAUAACUUUCUUUGGCCUUGUCAUUUUGAAAGUUCAUGAUUACUUUGCUAGUUUGCUUGAAGUAUUACUGUUUUCAUGUCAAUAACAAACUAUUGUUUUGAAUCGUACGGAUCUGAACAUUCAUGUCACGUGAAAGAAGUCGCAGAGGACAACUAUGCUAGGUAGCAUUCCACAUCAAAAAUUCAUUCUUUGUCACUUCCCUACUCGAGGACGAGCAGGAGUUAAGCUUGGGGAUGCUUGAUACGUCUCCAACGUAUCUAUAAUUUUUGAUGGUUUCAUGCUAUUAUCUUGUCAAACUUUGGAUGUUUUGCAUGCCUUUUAUUUAUUUUUUGGGACUAACUUAUUAACUAAGUGCCAAGUGCGAGUUCCAGUUUUUUCCAUGUUUUUGACCCCUUUCAGAGGAGAUUUUGAAACGGAGUCCAAACGAAGGAAAAUCCCCGAAAAGAUUUUUUUGGAAUGGAAGAAGAUCGGAGAACUUGGGAGGCAAGGCAGGGGAGCCCCAGGGGCCCCACAAGCCCCCACCCCGCGGCUAGGGGGCGCCAUCCAAGCUUGUGGGCCCCCUAGAGCUCCCCUGACCUAGGUCUUUCGCCUAUAUAAUCCCAAAAAUUCCAGAAAAAAUCAGGAGAUCAUCGAAAGUACUUUUCCGCCGCCGCAAGCUUCUGUCUCCGCAAGAUCCCAUCUGGGGCACGUUCUGGUGCCCUGUCGGAGAGGGGAUUCGGACACGGUGGGCUUCUUCAUCAACACCAUGACCUCUCCGAUGAUGCGUGAGNNNNNNNNNNNNNNNNNNNNNNNNNNNNNNNNNNNNNNNNNNNNNNNNNNNNNNNNNNNNNNNNNNNNNNNNNNNNNNNNNNNNNNNNNNNNNNNNNNNNNNNNNNNNNNNNNNNNNNNNNNNNNNNNNNNNNNNNNNNNNNNNNNNNNNNNNNNNNNNNNNNNNNNNNNNNNNNNNNNNNNNNNNNNNNNNNNNNNNNNNNNNNNNNNNNNNNNNNNNNNNNNNNNNNNNNNNNNNNNNNNNNNNNNNNNNNNNNNNNNNNNNNNNNNNNNNNNNNNNNNNNNNNNNNNNNNNNNNNNNNNNNNNNNNNNNNNNNNNNNNNNNNNNNNNAACCAGAGAAGUAACAAGUAGAAUUCCUACGCGUCAGGGAAGGACUUUUGUUGCCGCGGCACUCACCACACCAUCGAUUUUGCCUAGGUAAUUAUGAAAGAAGAGAAGAAGAUGGUAGUUUUGCCUAUGGUUCAGGCAUGGCUCAUGUUGAUCCAUAAAAGAGAUGUUCGUCCUGGUGACAAGCAUGUCAUCCGUUAUGCUCCAAUGCUAGCUCGGGAUAAGGAGAGGAUAACGAAUCUAAACCACAUCUACAACAACAAUGACACAUAGGUUGUGUGGAUGCUAAGAAUGAUAAGAGCAUCUUUCACCAGGCUUGUGCAAAUCUUUAGAUUAGGGGCUGCUAUAAUAUAGCAUCCACACUGGUGUGGAAGAGCAAGUUGCUACGUUCCUCCAUGUUAUCGAACAUAGCCGGAGGUUUAGGAUUAUCCACAACACGACCAGGAGAUCAAUGGAUACCGUUUUCACGUACUUUAGGCAAGUGACGUAUGUUGUUGGGGAACUCAGAGAAAAUAUGACCAGGUCACCAACCGACCGGACUCCUAGUAAGAUACGCACUAGCCCAAGAUGGUAUCCAUAUUUCAUGGUGAGCACCGACAGUAUGUAGUUCAUUCCUGGACAUGCUUGUAUUGUUCUACUAUAUCGAUUACACCAUCUCUUCAUGCCAUUUUAGGAUUGCAUUGGGGCAAUAGAUGGUACUCAUCUCACUACUUGAGUUCGGUGUUAUAAUCUGCAACAUACAUGAGGAGAAAGCACCACACAAGCCAGAAUGUUCUUGUUGUUGUUGACUUUGAUCUGAAGUUUACAUAAUUGCUAGAUGGAUAGGAAGGAUCCGCACAUGCUGGUAACAUUCCAGCUGACAACAUGAGUACACCUGAUGACAUAAAUAUCCCCGAUGGAAUGUUCUACCUGGAAGAUACUAGCUAUGCAUGCCAGCCAGGUGUUCUUCCAUUCAGAAAAAUCAGGUACCAUCUAAACGAGUUCGCCGGUAGAAACUAUCCUAGGUCUCCACAAGAACUAUUUUAUCUUAGACGCUAUAGCCUUAGAGUUAUGGUUGAGUGGGCAUUUGGAGCUAUGAGGAAUAUUCUUAAGAUCCUGAAUCAAAAGUCAUUCCACACUUUUCCCAAACAUGUUAAGCUUAUUCUUACUUGUAGCAUUUUGCAUAACUGAAUCGUGUAAUGGGGUUGUGAUGACCUGACGUCGGAGGAGGAAGAGGUGACGCGUGAUGAUGUUGUCAGCUCUAACCAUGGUGUGGAGGCAUUUGACGAUGAAGCCUGAAAGAACAAAAAGAUGGAGUGUGCACAAGCAAUAUGAGAUAACACAGCUAAGACGAGGAUCUGAAGAAGAAGAGGAACAACAAGAACGGAAAAGAAGAAGCGACGACAAAAGAAGAAACAACGACGACAAAAUAAGAAUAAGGCAAGGAUGGACUUCCAACUAGUUCGGCAUCGGUGAACUAUCCCUGUUGAGUCAUUUGACUGUUUAUUUGUAAUGAUAUUUUCUAAUAGUUAGAACGAACUGUGAUUCCUUUUCUAAUUAGGACUGAAACUAUGUCCGGAUCGUACAUGAUAAGGUCAUCGCUAAUGAGAAGUGAUGAUAGCGCCUUAUACAGUUUGCAACCAAACGACUUAGUUUGUGCGUCCUAUGCAACGUAGACAACCAAACUAACAAGUAAAUAUUGUUUCCCUCACGUAGCCAAUCUUGAUGCAGACAAUCAAACUAUAUGCAGAUGAUCUCUAACACAGUCCCAUCUAAGAUGUAAAGAAAGAGAAAAAUGAUACAGUCAACCAAACACGCCAUAAACCAGGGCCCUCGCUCACAUCGUCGAGGUACCGGUGCUUGGCAUGCAGAUCCGACCUCGUACGAAUCGCAACACCCCGCUUGACCUGUUGGCUGCGCGCUGCUUGAGGUAAGGCCCUCGGGACGGGAGGGAGGGAGGAGGGGCCCAAAGCCUCUCGUCUCGUCUCGCACCACAAAAAGGAUCGCGUGUCUCGUACACCGUGGUUUUUAAUCACUCCCCUCCUUCCUUCUUUCCUGGAGCUGGAGCUCUUUACUCCACUCUCACUACUCACUCGUCACACGCCACUCGAUCCCAUUCCAUUCAGCGCACAAGCCCAGCAGCAGCAGCGGCAAUGACGCCGCGCGCGUCGUGAGACAGACCUACAUACAGGCGGUGUUGGCGCUCGCUGGCGGUGGGGGGGCGAUUAACCGGGCCAGUCUGCGCGCGGGCCAUGGCGGGCGGCCCGGCGAUGGCUCCUGCGGCGGCGUGGUGGCCAGGCGCGGGGGCGGGGGCGCAGGAGCACGAGGAGAUGCGGUGGCGGCAGCUGGAUGGCGGCGUCAGCGCGGUCUCCUUCGGCUUCGUCGCCACGGCCAUGCUCGUCUCCAUGUUCCUCGCCAUGGCCGUGCUCGAGCACUUCCUCCGCGCCCCGCCCAUGGGCCCGCCGGAGCCCUCGCCAUCGCCGCCCCGAGGCGGGGUCCUCCUCCGCCUCCUCCGCCGCCGCGGCGCCGGAGGCAGACCCCCCGGCGCGGAUCUCGAGGCGGCAGGGAAGCUCGACGCCGGACGCGCGUCCCCCGAGGUACCACUACGACGGCACUGCUCCCCCCGCACGCCCCGCCGCCGCCCCCAUUCCCCAUCCGCUCCCGCCUCCCCCCCGCUUUUCAUGAUUCCGUCGUCUCGCCCUUUUUUUACCCUUUCCGCGUCGCUUUUACUGCUCACCGUGCGUGUGGCUGUCUGUGUGCACUUGAGAGUUGAGGCCGACCCAGAUUGCGCAUCAUUUCGUUCCUCCACCACACUCGACUCCGCCAUGAUGCAUCGGCCAUGGCUAGGGCCAGGACCUAGGAGGGAAGCAUCAGAGGAGGAUGCCCAUUGCCCAAGCAGGGACCAAGAGAUUCCUGCCUCGAUUUUUAUGGUGGCUCAAGAAAGUAUCUUAAUAACAUACACAUCAAAGGAGCACAUUUUGAUCUGCAGCGCCGAACCAGAUCUUGCUGAUGUGGUUCAUCACUUGAUCACAGCUCAUCUUCGUCAGUAGUUCAUAGUAGCAGCGUAUCCAUCCAUUAUAGUCGAAGUGAUGUUAAGUUCGUCCAAACUCUGAAACAACUCAUUAAUUAGCUUGGUCGAGAUGUGUCCUACUGCUAGUACCUCAACCCCACAGGUCUCUGUUAAGCCACAACUCAUUUAAUUAGCCUGGUCGGGAUGCCCCACUGCUUCAACCCCACAGGUCUCUGUUAAGCCGUUAGCCACAUCGAUUUCUCCUGUCAUAUUAGCCCUACACAAGUACCAGCUGCAGCUGCUGUCUCAGCAGUUAAUCAUUCAUCAUUAUUUAGAUCGCUUUAUGCUAAGUGGCCACAUGGUGUUUUUUCAGGAAAAUGAGUUAAGAGUAGAUUGAUCACAGGGGUGGAUCUUCCUGAUGCAAUCGAUUUCUAUCCUUCUGUACUCUCUCUUGUGGAUAAGUUCAGUUGGCACCUUCAUAUGGCUUGUAGCAACAUUCUUGUCCAUUUUGUAUGGUGUGAUAUGUAGUGGUAGAAGACAAGGGGAGUUGCUAUUUAAGAUCAUGGGUUGUGGAAUUGAGAGGGGGGUUUGGCAGACAGUGUGGAACAGACAAGGCCCACCCCUGUCUGCACCUAACAACAAGGUCUAAAUCACAUUCUAGCUUCCAAUAUUUGUUCUCCAUCCAAAACUCAGACAGCCACAGCCUGCAGGCCCCAGAUGAUGUGGUCAUCAUUUGUUUGCUCGCUGUCAAAUGUGGAACCUCCUGUUACUAAGAUGGACCAGCAUCACAAUUUACUUUGAGCUUGUACUGUGCCCCAUCAUGGAAAUCAAGAAAGUCAGUUAAUUAAACACGGGAGGAGCGUUGAAGUACGGAGUAUAAAUGGUGCCCUUGUCUAAGAACUUGACUUAACCCUUAGAAACUUGAUGCUAGACUUCACACAAAAAUAAGGGGUUGUCUCUUGCUCGCUAGCUGGGCCGUACCAUGAGCUGCUCGCAGCCAUGCUCACAGGGUUCGCCUCAGUGGUGCAUGACUACGCGCAGCUCCUUUCCGUCGCUCCUGCUGGUCGGCAUACCCAGCAUACCCUUAGUUGUGCCGCCUGUUUGUUGUUCGCCGAGAGAUUGAGGGAGGCGUUAGGGGCUUAAUGAAUGAGCAUGCAAGGAGGAGUAUUUUUAUUAACUACUAGUAUAUUAUAAGUUUGAAAUAUUGAUUGGAGGAGUAUUUUUAGUAACUGUAGUAUAUUAUAAGUUUGAAAUAUUGAUUGGAGGAGUAUUUUUAGUAACUAGUAUGUUGGAAGGUAUUGUAAAAGGGAAUGAGGUUGAUUGAGCGCCGUCAAAAUAUGAAAUUCAGUAUUUUUCUGUAGUCUUUCUGAAAUCUGCCAAAUCACCUUUCUGCUAUGAUAUAGAAAAACAAAAUGAUAUAUCACCUGUUACCGACCCUGUCUAGCCAUCUAACGUGCCAAGUAUAAGCCACCACAUAUAAAAUUCAGUAUUUUUCUGUAGUCUUUCUGAAAUCUGCCAAAUCACCUUUCUGCUUCUUCCAUGUUUUCAUAGUGUGUUUGUCAAUAACAGCAUCGGGUAUUGAGCUUUGUUCCCAUUGUCUGCAAUGAACGUUAUCAUCCAGCUAUUAUGUUAUAUUUCAUUUCUCGAUGACAGGUCAUUCAUGGCCGUUACUGAAUCUAGACCAUCAGUCCCAGCUUCCAUCCAAGUUCAGAUAAAUUUCUGAUCAGUUCUUGGGUAGUAGGGGCUCCAGUUCCACCCAAUUCCAGGUUAUCAUUAUUCAGGUUGCAUACCAUAGUGGAUGUUGAUCCUGGCUCUAGGACCUGCUCGAGAUGACCCUGGAACCAAGUAGCAAAGGUGUCUUGAUGGCAGAUUGGCAGCCACACCUCAGGGGGAGGAGGAGAAAAAUGGAAAAAUAUAGUAUAGUACUCCCUCCGAUCGAAAUUAAUUGAUGCAGCUCUAGUGCAACUUUGUACUGAAGUUGUACUAAAGCUGCCUCAAUUAAUUUGGAUCAGAGGGAGUACUACGUUUUUUUCUGCUUAAUCCAACCAAAAGAAGUGCCAAUCCUUAUAUCGGAGGUGCUUGCCCCUAACACAAGUAACUAAUCUUACCUUUCCUAACUUAUACAAAUAUAAAGAAAACAAACUUUGGGGAGAUGAACCUUUGUAGCUGCGGUGCAAAUGAAAUUCCCUUUAUUUUAUUUUCCAGAUUUAAUUGUAGUCAGAUACACACUCUAAAGCAAUAGCAGUAUGCUAGAACAGGCAUCUGGUAGACGUAGCAUCGAUAACUCAUCUUAUGCACAGUUGUUCCACCAUCUAUGGACCUAUUUACCCGAAUAUUGACAUACCAUACAUCCAAUGAUUUUUCAUCAUCUGUUUCAGUUUUGCAGUUGGGUUGGGUUAAUUUGAUUCGAUUGGUUCUUGGGGAUGUUAUGGCAUCUUGUUUUUUGUGUUGAUAUUCAUUCUGCUUCCCUUCUCACAAUCAUAUGAAAAUAAAAAAUACAACUGAUUAUGAAAGCAAAACAUCCCUCCUAUUUCUGACUACAUACACAUUCUUACUGAUUACUUGGCUUAUAUGUGGCUUUGCAGAUGCCUGUCUAUUCCAAAGGGGUAUCCGUCCUGAUGCCGGGACAGGACGUGCCGACGUUCAUCGCGCAUCCCGCGCCUACGCCCUGCCCCCCGGAGAGGGUCCGAUGGCCAUCGCACCAGCCCGCUCCGUUCGCCGGUUCCUCAUCAAAUCCAAGCUAGCGCGUGGCUGCCGGACCGAGCACCGAGCACCCUUCUGUCUGUCUCACCAUCCAAGGGAAGGGGUAAAAUGCCGGCGGAAUGGCGGCGGUCCACAGGAGCACACCUCUGGUUUCUUCUGUGGCCAUGUCACCUCCGGCGCCUUGGUGGAACUGAAGAGGUUCUCUCCAUGCGUUGUACAGUUUAGAUGUCUGUUGCGGAGCAAGUUUUGGUAGCUCCUGCUGCCUGCCUGUAUUAUGGCGGGAGAAGAGCGGCUAGCCUGGUGGAUCAAUGGAAUUGUUGCCGAUCCCGCUUGCUCGGCUAGUGGUGUUUAGAUGCUUUCGUUGUCGUUGGUUAUAGAGUCGGUCGUAGAUGUGCGUCAUGGAUGGAUGUACUUGUACACGUCUUGUGUAAUUUCGUUGCAUAAAUGACUUGAGCCUAUUGGAGCUGAGCCCCCAUCAGCCUCGUAUCGUAUCAUUGCGCAGAAAAGGAAAAAAAGCCUCGUAUUUGCCAAGCUCGUGGUCACAAAUUACAUAGAGUAGUAUUUAAGUUUUUUUAAUAAACUAGCACAAAUGCCCGUGCGUUGCAACGGAAGACAUUGUUACAUGUCUUAUGACUACAGCUAUUUUUCUCUUUUCUCGUCUCAGUUUGUCAAACGUACAUGUGUUACAAUUGAAUAAAAAAAAUUCUUUAGAUUCCUACUGUUUCCGUAUAUGCUUUUUGAGGAGAAAAAAUGGCCAGCUUGAUUUAUGAAGCAAGUUAAAUACCUCAACAGGUUAUUAACACCUUUUAUUAUGCUCACCAAUGUUUCAUAUAUUUUCAUUUUAAUUACUCACUCCGUUUUUAAAUUUGUGCGCCAUAUAUUUAAAUUUGUGCGUGAAAUAACAGCCCUUAAAAGCGCCCCUCACAGUUCUGUGUUUUACUAAUGUAAAAAAUAUGCUCAAUAGAGAAAAUAACAAAAUAAGCUUAUGUGGGAUCGAAUCGAUGACUAUGGGUUAAAAGCGUUGAGCUCUAGCCAUUUGAACUACUAAUAUGCUAAUGGUAAAUUUGUAGUCCGCUGGUUAAUAACCAUAGUAAAGCGUAGCCACUUUACAAAGGAAAAACGAAACGUUUGGUUAAUUACACUUUAUUUAUUUAUUUAAUUAUUCUUAUUUGUUUUUUUUCCUUCGUAGGUUUUAUUGGUUCUUUAUUACACUUUAUUUUUUGUAUGUUUCUUAGUUUUGUUGGUUUUUCUUGUUUUUGCACUGGUAUUCCUCGGGUUAAUCACUGAAUUUUUUAUUUUUACCGGUUUUGUGUUUCUUUGUCAGUUUUUAUUUAUUUCCUUUCUUCUUAUUUAUCUUCAGUUUUUAUUUCGUACAUUUUUGGUUUUCAAUGAUUUUUUUUUCCUUAUUACUUUAUUUUUUCUCUGUUUUCACUAUUUUUUAUUAUUGCUAUGUUUAUCAUUUGAAAACAUAAUUCAAUAAACCAAGGAAGAGACAAUCAACAUAUAUAUAGAAGCAUCUCAAGAAAAAGAUAUGUCCACCAAUAAAUAAUUGAAUCUCAUUUGUGAAAUACUGACAGCAAAUGUAGAAUACUGAUAGUUGGCACUUCAUAUGACAAUGAGAAAAUAAACCACUCCUAUAAACUCUUUUGUUCUCGUUAUUAUUCACAUGCUUAGCUAAUGUUCAGGUUUUUAGGAUAAAUCAUAAAUAACCAUAACCAUGAUAACAGUCAAGCUUAUCGGGUUUAUUCCGCCUACCCUAUGAGAUAAAGGCAAAAAAAUGGAACAUGUUCUGUGGAUCUGUGCACAUCAAACUUUGCAAUGUGUGGUACAUAAAGGACAAUUUAGAAUAUACAUAUAUCCUGAUACCUAAUUGUUACUUGCUUUCUCAUCUCCCAUGUGCACUCUACAUAACAUAUGCAUACAUUACAGGCUUCAAGCGUUCAUGAAUUUCUUCAGCAAAUUUAACAUUAUCACAGAGUAAGUCAAACUUGUGACCCAGCAUGCUAAGGGAAACAAAUUCUAAUAGCAAACAGUGAAACUCCCCAAAACUGUCAGAUUGCUGAAAUAUAUCUCUAUUUCCUGUGCUGGUUAAUCUUCGGAUUCUGACUCACCCUUGCAUUCCUCGCAUAGACAGGUCAUAUCCUCCUUUAAUAUUCAAGUCUAAUAAGAGCAGGUCCUCAAUUUUCAGGGUGCAUUUGGCAUUCUUCGCCUCCUGACUUCGUACACGGUAGAGCUGAAAAUCCAAAUUAUUAUCAUGAAGAUUGUCAUCAGAUAUAGCUUUCACCGGCUGUUCAGUGCUUUCUUCAUACACAUGUGUUCCAUUGUCUGACAAGCCCGGAAGGGCUAGGUUAAAGUCUGUAAGCUGUGAUCUAGCAUUUUCUAGGCCAGCAGAUCCAUUUGCAUCAAAGGAAAUGUUUUCUUGAGCUUUCUCUAGUAUUUCCUUUAAAUAUCUCACUUGAGCCUCUAUUCGCAUCUGCAGCUUCUUCUGCACCUGAUCACAGAAAUAAGCAUUUUUUUAGGCUGAUACAAGCAUUUUUAACCUAUAUGGUACAGAAUUUGGUAGUAUAAGCAGUGAUGCACAACUUUUCUAACCUCAAGUUGUUCACACAAUUCUCUUUGGACCUGGAUUUGAUACCUGAGGGUGUCCUCAAGCGGCAUUUAUCUGAUUCAUAUAAGAAAUGUUUUGAAAAUGGUUAGUUAAAUCAUCAUACAGUCUCAACUGAUGAAAAAGGCACAUAGAAGACAUAUGACAGUAAGUAAUCAGUAGGAUUCCCUCUUUGUGACUCUAUAUAAGGAACUUUGCAUAUAUACUUAUGGAAGGGCAAAAUUAAUCACAACCAAGAAAAGCUAGUGAUUGCUACUAACUUGUACAACUACUAAAGAUCUCACUUUUCAGUUAUACAUGAGUAUCUCUAAUACCAAUGCUGGUUUAAGUUCUGUCCUGCAGGCAAAAACAAUAGUGCUUGAUUUCUAUAUAUGCCUGGUGAUCAUUGAGGAUUUAGCUCUAGCACAUGAUGCCUUAGCGCAUGGUUAGUCUCAAAUUUAAGUUGACAGCUUGAUUGCCCAACACAAAACAAAGAACCGUACUGCACUGUCGACGGCAAAAAUUAGUCGACCUUUUUCUUUAAAAUUAUGCUUUGAACAGUACUACAAAAUCAUUGGAGGGACAGGAAAACAGAGUAUGUAGUACUCAUCUAAUCCCUUAAGUGUUCAGAUUCAUAAGUAAAUCGCCUUAGUUCAGUCCAGGGAAAACUUACAAGAUAAUUCAACAUCAUUUGUCUUUUUACGUAGACACAAUUUAGUAGAUUAAUUGCCUUCAGUAUUUUGCGUCAAACAAUGUUAAGCAGUAAUAACGUAGUAGUAUAAGCAUCAUGCAACCAGAAUCAAAUGGAGAACAGAUGAGAAGGAAAUAGAAACUCACCAGUCGAGUCCAUGUCGUAAACCUUGACAUCCAUGCGUUCAACCGCUUCGCCAGAUGAUCAUACCUCCCACUUCCAAAUCGAUACACCAAACCAUCAGCUACCGGCGACAUGAUUUACUGUAAUUUUUGAGUAAGCAACAGAGAAGAAGGGGAUCAAAUUCUCAGCACGACGGCGGCCUUGGCCUUCUUCCCAGAGGAAGACGCCGAGACGGCGUCCGCGAUGGCGGCCGAGUCCACCUGGGGCGCGCGCCAUCGGAAGGGCAGGAGCAGGAGCAGGAACAGGAGCAUCGGCUGGAGCACGGUGAGGAUCCGACGCAGCGCGAGCAGCGACAGCAGCGCGCUGAUCCUGCCCGCCGCGUCCGCCGCCUGCAUGCUCCCGGCCAUCCCUCUGCUCUGCCCCUCCUCCGUUAGGUCCAGGAGCGCUGGCGAGGCUGGCGAGGUCAACGGGGUGAGGCGACGCUGGCGAUAUGGAUCCCCGAUCCAGAUCGGGUCGGCGAGGCGGCGACGCGAUGCAGGGUCCAGCGCGGGAUGAUGACUGCUCUUGUGGCCGGAUCUGGCGAAGAACGACGAUGAGCGGCGGAGGUCCAUGGCCAUGGCGGUCCUGCGGAACAGGGGAAGAGAGACCUCAGAUGAGAGAGAGGGAACGGGAGAAAGGAGAAGGAAGGCGCGGCGCGGGCUGCCAUGGUCGGGAUCCGGGCGGAGGAGCUGUCGGUGCUCCGGCGGCGGCAGAGCUCCAAUGAACGCCCACCGGAGGCGGUAUCGGGUGUGCGGCUUCGGGAGGAAGGAGAAGGAGCUCAGGGGCUGGCGGCGGCGGCGGAGGGCUUUUUUACAAAAAAACAAAACGUUUUCUUCCACUUACUAUAGGAUUGCGGGUUGAUUUCAAUAAGCCUCAGGGGCUUUUUUUGCAGAAAAACCAUGACGGACGACAGAAGUGCUGCGCGCUUUAUUAUUAGGGGAGAUACAUGGUCUACAUAUCUCUACAAUUAAAGGGGGAUCUGCCGUCGUGAUAGUUCGACCUUCCUUCCCCGUCGUACGAGUUCCCCUCCCACCUAUCGAUCCCCCGACGCGAUUGCAUCGUUAACUUCUUUUUUGUUUACCGCGACCCACCCACGAUCCCGCACGUCCUCUGUGAAUCCACCCCACAACCGCACACCCGCACGCGUCCCGGAUCCCGCCCCCGCUCCAUCGCGCCCAUGCGCCGUCACCUCUCUUGCGCCACCGCGCCCGCUCCCGGCCAUCACGCCCGUACGCCGCCACCUCUCCCGCACCACUACGCCCUAGCCCUGCUCGACACUCCCGUAUCCGCCCCCGCCGCCCCGCCCCGUCGCUCAUCCCUCGUCGUCCGCCACGUCGCUGAGCCCCCGCCGGGCCGUCCCGCCGCUCAUCCCUUACCGGCCGCCCCGUCACUCCUCCUCCGCUCGUGCCACCGUACUCGCGCCGCAUCAUCGCUUUCGUGCUCAUUCCAUGUAAUGCCCCAAGUUUAACCUUGUCAUAUUUGGAACCUUCCANNNNNNNNNNNNNNNNNNNNNNNNNNNNNNNNNNNNNNNNNNNNNNNNNNNNNNNNNNNNNNNNNNNNNNNNNNNNNNNNNNNNNNNNNNNNNNNNNNNNNNNNNNNNNNNNNNNNNNNNNNNNNNNNNNNNNNNNNNNNNNNNNNNNNNNNNNNNNNNNNNNNNNNNNNNNNNNNNNNNNNNNNNNNNNNNNNNNNNNNNNNNNNNNNNNNNNNNNNNNNNNNNNNNNNNNNNNNNNNNNNNNNNNNNNNNNNNNNNNNNNNNNNNNNNNNNNNNNNNNNNNNNNNNNNNNNNNNNNNNNNNNNNNNNNNNNNNNNNNNNNNNNNNNNNNNNNNNNNNNNNNNNNNNNNNNNNNNNNNNNNNNNNNNNNNNNNNNNNNNNNNNNNNNNNNNNNNNNNNNNNNNNNNNNNNNNNNNNNNNAAGUGGUGUGCAAAGCUUGGGUUUAACUAUGUAGUUUUUCAAACUAGAGUUCAAAGGAAGCCCCCUUCUUCCUUAUUUUCUUGAGCUCAAGAUUUACUUGCUCUGAACCUGAUUUUCAAAUGUAGAUCUAUUAGAGCAUUUUCUUGUGGAUGUGGCGAUGUGUCUAGGCCAUUUUAAAAAAGCUUUGCUUAAAUGGGGUUNUGGGUUCGAGUCCCAGAGGCGCCCUUUUGCUAUUUCCUUGUUUUUGUGGUGGAGUAUCUUGACAGGAGUUGAUACCCUGCAUGUUUCCCCUUCCCUGUCGAAGUGGAGCGGCUAGCCCAGUGGUGGGGUGUUGGUUGUGCAUCAGUUAGGUCUUGGGUUCGAUUCCAAGCACCCCCUCCCCCUUUUAAUUUUAUUUUUCCUUUUGCUGUUUUCAAGUAUGCUUGCAAUGUUCAUUGCUUGGGCAGCAAGCUAGUGCUCCCUUUUAGCUAGUGUGUGUGUAUGUGAGUAUAAACAUGUGUAUUUAUGUGUGAGGGCAAGUUCUUGCAUGGUGUGUGUGUAGUUGAAGCAUGUGUAGGUGGGUGUUGUGUGUAUGUGUGCAUGGGAGCAUAUGCACUAGUGUGUGCAUGUGUGUUUGUGUGUGGGUUACCCCCACAUAUUUGUGCAAGUGUGCACCAAGACAUGUAUGUGUGUGUGUGUGUGUGUGUGUGCAAGUGCUUGUGCAUGCACUUGUGUGUGUAGUGGUAGUGUAUGUGUGUAAUGCCCCAAGUGUAGGACUUUCCCUUCUUGUAACCUUCCAUGUGGGGCCACCUUGUCAGAGAUCUUGAUGAUAUCUUUUGUGCCAUGAAUUCAUGUGUGUUCCCUAGUGCUUACUUCCCUUGCAUGCAUGAAUUACAUAUCAUUCCUUGCCAUACUUAUGAUUGCAUGCCAUGAUCAUGUUGCAUUUGAGUUUAAUAGGAGUAGUGUUGUGGUGUUGUGAGUGCAUGUGAUCUUGCUAGGAUUAAGUGGUGGUUUUGCACUACCUUGUGAUGCAUGUGAUAAUGGUGUGUGUGAUGUAGGAGUGAGUGCUAGUCUUUUAAAGCUCUUGCCUUUUAAACUCCUUUUCCCUCCUAUUUUUAUUCUUGUCAAAAUUCCUUCUUCCCAAAGAUGAUUCUAAAAUGUCUAGUGGUUAGAUAAAAUGUGCUUAUGAGGGAGUGCAAUUUUUCUGAUUUGAAUCUUUGAUUUAAGUGGUGCAAAUAAACUCAAAACAGUAGCUUAAUUACUGUUUUGCAUUUAUUUCAAACAUCUCCAAAUAUUGCUUGUCUAUUUUUCCCUAUUGGGCCAUUAUUUCUUAGGUCUAGCGGGAUUUUCCUUUUAUUUUUUAACCCAGUAGUUAUUUUGGGUAAUAUAUUUUUCUUUCCUUCCCUGGGUGCAUUUGUUUCUCUGUUCACCUAAUUGGAUAACUUCCUGGGUAUCUAAUUCUUUCCCUGGCCCAUUAAGCCUUCUCCCGUGCUGGCCCAGUUGGACUCCACCCCUGGCGACAGAGCCCACUGGCGAGCGUUUCCUUCUUCCUCCCGACGUCACUCCUGUACGACGUGCGCUCCACCUCUCGAUCACUCUCUCCUUGAUCCAGCGGCUCGAGCUCGCCUCCCGAGACGUUAAAGAGGAGCCCGGGACCCCCUCCUCCGCCCUAGGGUUCCCUCUCCGUUUUCCCCCAGCGCCGCCAGUGUCCUCCUGCCCUCGUUCUUCCCUGGUAAGUUUCAGAGAGGAAGCAGAGAGAGAGAGAGAGUGCAACGCCUCCUUCGUCAACCCGCCGAUCCGUCGUCUCCGGCACCGGCCGCCAUGGGAGUCUCCUUCCCUGCUUCGGUCUACGUCGGAGGAGCUUCUUCGGCGUCCUCCUCCCCGUUCGGCGCCCCAUCUUCUCCCAAGGUGAGGCCGCGUCCUCCCCGUCCUUCCUCCGCCGCGGACCGGCUCGGUCCCGUCGGGCGCAUGCUUCCUCUGUUAGUAGCAGCAGCAGGUUAGAGGAGCAGUAGCGGCUGUUCUGUGCCGAGUUUGUGCGUGCGUUGUCGAGAGGAGAGGCAAGGCGUAGUGGUGUAGCAGGGUGUUGGUAGCAGUUCGACGCGUAGUAGCAGCAGCAGCAGCCGGCAGUAGGCGCUAGCAGUAGCAGCAGCAGCUAGCCGGUGCAACUUAUCAGCUGCAGCGGCAGAGCACACUGCUGCGUUCCGGGCAGCCAAAGGAGGGACCUUUUCCCGUGCUCAGGGUGGGAAUGGAUCCCCUGAGAGUCCCGCGGGCCCCGCCGAUGGUUUCCCCUGCCGGUGGUGGCCGGGAGUGGCGCCGCCAGCGUCCUCGGGUCCGGCCGCCGGCAGAGCUCAUCUCGUGAGUGGAGUGGGUUUUACUUUUUACCUUCUCGUCUUAGCCAGUCUCCGGUCCGUAGCCCGAUGGUAGUGUUGCUCUGUCUUGUGCUUGCGCCUGAUGAGAGGUCCAGGGUUCGAGUCCCCCCCUCGGCGCCCUUUUGAUAUUUUGUUUUGAUUUAUGUUGCGGGUAGAUUACCUUGCCUUUUUCCCUUCUCCUGUUAACAUCAGUAACAGCAGCGCAGUGGUAGAUGUGUGUUUGUGUUAUCGUCAGGUGCAGGGUUCGAAUCCCAUGCGUUGCACCCCCCUUUUUAUCUUGCCUGUUUCCUUUCUGAUUUGCAGUAGGGCAGCACAACAGAGUUUAACCUCUGUUUGGGUCCUUCUCUGUCGAGCCCCAUGGGCAUAGCAGAGUGGGUGGGUGCAGUAGAGAGCAUCAGCAGGUUCAGGGUUCAAAUCCUGACCCCUCUUGCUAUUGUGUUCUUUCCCUGUUGUUUUUUUUCUUCUGCUACAUUUUUUUUAAAACACCCUUCUUACUAUUGCCGAUCUUGUGCCUACCAAAGGUGGCCAUGGAAUUAUGUUUUUUUUUCCUUGCUGUUAUAGUUGUGCUAGGUGAUGUAGUGUGUGUGGUUGUGCUUGUGAGAGAUGUGCAUGUGAGUGUGUUUUCCUUGUGCUUGGAGUGGGCUCUUGCACCAUGUGGGGCUAGUAGAUUGUGAUGUGUGUGCAUUAGCUUGUGGUAGCUCUAGUAUAGAUAUGUGUGUGAGAGCCUCACCCAUGGCAAGGCAUGAAGAGCAUUGAUGUGCUCAUGAGUAGUAGUGUGUGGUGGUGUUGGAUUCAUUUAGGGAGUGUAGCUAUUGUAUGCUCUAACUAGUUCUAGUAGGACUAGAUUUGUGUCAUGCUAGAUAUGUGGGUGGUGUGGACCUCCCCACCUUUACAAGUGGUGCACCUCCUCAUGUUUAAUAUGAGAGAGGGCAUAUUGUGUGUGUGGGGUUGGCUCAUGUGUGUUGGUGUUGUUGAUGUGCAUGACACAAACAUGGGGUUCAAACCCCCAUGUCACUUUGUCAUUGUGCACAUGAAACCCUCCUAUGUAUUGUCAUCUUAGAAGAAUACCUUAUGGAUUUGCAUUUUUAUUUUGUUGAAAGUUUGGGCUUUGUUUCCAUGAUAUAGAUGGAGCCCAAAGGCAUGGAUCUUGGUGUGUUAGUUGUAGGGGUUUGCGCUCAAUACCAUAGUGGUGUCAAACACCUCUUGGGAACUUGUGUGUGCAAACUAUGCCUAGACAAAGUGGGCAUGUGGUUGGGAAAUUCCAGAUUUUUGAACUCUGAAAAUUUCACUAAGUCUGGAAUGCUGAAAACAUUUUCUUCCCCUGUAGAUAAGGUUUUUCUGGUCAUUAUGUUGAGAACUGGACUUAGUUCAGUGCUAGUCUUUUGAACCUGGGGUGUUUGUGAAGCUUCCUGUCAAUUUUCAAGUCAUUUGGAGUCCAGUAGCUUGUGUUUUGAUUGCUGUAAAAAAGCUUCAGAACAGAAACAGAAACUCAGGUGCAGGAAUUUUCACUAAGUCCCUGAGAACUGAUGGUUUUGGGAAAGUUUGUGGCCUUGUAUCUUCUAGAGUUUAAUUCCUUUUGCUGUGAUUCUUGCUGGAGCUUGUAGUGUUCUUGGUUGGAAACAGCCACAUAUAUUAUUUGUCGUAUUUGAAGACCUGUAGCUAUGUUGCAUGUGGCUCACAAACAGCUAAGAUGCAGAAACUGGCAGAUUGCGUAGUUUUGACAUUUUGUUCAAAGUUUGUGUUUAAUUGUUGUUGGGGUGUUCUACCUUGCUCCAUUUCAUUCAUGUUGGGUUAAUAUAUGUCUUGGAAACCUGGGAACACCAGAUUUGUGCCAAUUGUGUGUGUGGUGAUGAAUCUUUCACGUAGGGCUUCAUAUCGUGUUUCGUUGAUUCCCGUUGAUCCGUAGCUCCGUUUGCAAAGUUCUUUACAUGGUUUUGCACCGUUUUUACGAGCUGCAUCUGUUAAUAUCAUUCCCAGGCAUGUCCAAAUAGUUUAGUGCAAAGUUAUGUCCAGGAACUUGUUGUAGUUUAUCCUGCUUGUGCUAGUGUUAGAAAUAGUGGUGCAUGCUCAACUUUCAUCUCAUGCAUCAUGUGAUUGUUGCAUUUUGUGGUGCUGCUGUUCAUUGGCUGUUAUUUCUUGUGUUGGGUAGCACCGGGAGCGGAGAACGAAUACGUGGAGUCAGGAGAGUACGUGCAGGACGAUCCAGAACCAUUCCAAGCUGAGGAUAUCACAGGCAAGAUGACAUGACCUUGAUCCCAUAUCUAGACUUGUUAUGUUAGUUUUGAUUCCACGUCAUAUUGCUCGCUGCCUACCACUGAAAAUAUAUUGCCUCUUCAUAUGCCAUGAGCCUAAACACUUUACUCUUUCCUAGCAAACUUGCCUGGCUAGGUAGGCUUGCUCAGCUACUAAUGUUAGCAUUGUUAGUUGCAGGUGUUUAUAACUCAUGAGUUGCCAUGAGCUUGAUAUCAUUAUAUUAAAUUUCUGUUAUUUAAUUAAUGUAUCUAUAUAUUUGGUAAAUGACGGGAGGCCUAGCCUUUUGCCGGGUGUCUUGUUCCGUUAUUGCCGCCUUAGUUACCGGUUACCGGUGUUUGAUUCCAUAAUGAUCGCUCCUAACACGUUCGGGGUUGUUAUGGGGACCCCCUUGAUAAAUCGCGUAGUGUUAAGGCUUGUCCGGCAGGACCCAACUUUGGUUUUAAUCUGCUAAUCACAUAAUAAUCUGCAUAGGGAAUAGCUACCCCGAGGAAUUUACUCAACAACCCGGGCCAGUGCUCCCCAUGAGUGUUGGCCCCACCUGAGCGAUGUCCGGGGCCCCACUGGUCACCCACAGGUUUAGCCAUCCGGACGUCUAGCUCAUCUGUCGUGUCCUGAGACUGAGAUACGCGGCUCUUAUCAGGGUCGUCGACACGACGGGAGGUCCUGCUAGCCUUGUCUUGCCUUAGCGGUAUAUCUUGCGUAUAGGAAUCCCGGUGAAGCUGUGGUUUUCCCCAGAGUUGAGGUUUUCCUCUAAGGAAUCCGACGAGAUCACGAGAUUCGUGAUAGAGGAUGCCUUUGCGGCCUGUGUUCGUUUGUGAUGGACUAGUUGGAGCACCCCUGCAGGGUUUAAUCUUUCGGAAAGCCGUGCCCGCGGUUAUGUGGCAACUUGGAAUAUCUUGCUAACAUCCGGUAUUAGAAAACUUAAACAUAAACUAAUAAAAUAUGCCAACUGUGUGUGUAACCGUGACUGUCCCUUCGAAGUCCUCUCUUCGAACGGGAACACGGUGGGGUUAUGAAUGUCGUAGGUAGGGGUUCAGGAUCACUUACUGAUCAAGCAUUCUUGUUCGUUAGCGUAGACCACGUUUACUUCCUUCUCGCGUAAGUUAGCCACUUAUUCAAUCAUAGGUUGCAGCAGCCUGAAACACUUCUUACCUUCCUUACCCAUCAACAUGACUAGUUCUGGCACCAAGGUCUUAGAUUGCUGAGUCCCCGUGGCUCACGGAUUCCUCCGAAACUUCCAGCAGGUACAGGUACCCCAGAGACCGAUGGUCCCGAUGGCAUCCAGCUAGCGUGGCAGUACGACGAGGAGACAGACCGUCUUUACGUGAACUAUCCAGAGGACUGAGCCAUGGUCGUGAUCGUGGGCCCGCAGCCGGUAGCAUAGCAUUUCCCUUGUUUUGUAGUCCGUACCGGAACUACCUUGUUUGUAUCUGCGUUGUACUCUGUAUUAUUAAUAAGAAGACAGUUGAAUCCCAGAUUGUCUACUAUAUUUAUUAUUAUGUGCUAUGUUUACUUGCUUGCAAAACACUUAGAUGCGCUUCUUUCCUAUUCGGGGGCCUCGACUCCCAGAUCGGAAAGGACCGCAUCUUGGUCGUUACAAUGUGUGUGUGUGUGUGUCACACACACAUGAGCAAGUGUGUUCAUGGUGGCCUUAGUACACCAUGGGGGUUCUUUGAGCACCUAGGGAUAAGUGGGUGAGUGUCAUGUGGUAGUUUUGUGUGUGUAUGCAUGUGUGUAUGUGGUCAUGCAUGUGUGUGUGGGCAUGGGUGCAUCUAUGCACUUGUGCAUGAGGGCUAACCCCUCAUGCUUGCCACCAUGGUGUGUNNNNNNNNNNNNNNNNNNNNNNNNNNNNNNNNNNNNNNNNNNNNNNNNNNNNNNNNNNNNNNNNNNNNNNNNNNNNNNNNNNNNNNNNNNNNNNNNNNNNNNNNNNNNNNNNNNNNNNNNNNNNNNNNNNNNNNNNNNNNNNNNNNNNNNNNNNNNNNNNNNNNNNNNNNNNNNNNNNNNNNNNNNNNNNNNNNNNNNNNNNNNNNNNNNNNNNNNNNNNNNNNNNNNNNNNNNNNNNNNNNNNNNNNNNNNNNNNNNNNNNNNNNNNNNNNNNNNNNNNNNNNNNNNNNNNNNNNNNNNNNNNNNNNNNNNNNNNNNNNNNNNNNNNNNNNNNNNNNNNNNNNNNNNNNNNNNNNNNNNNNNNNNNNNNNNNNNNNNNNNNNNNNNNNNNNNNNNNNNNNNNNNNNNNNNNNNNNNNNNNNNNNNNNNNNNNNNNUGUAGUUUUUCGAGCUAGUUUUGUGCCUACUUGUUCCAUGCAAGUACCCAUGUAUUAUAUAUGGAUUUGGGGUAAAAUCAUCCCAGGAAUCCACUGGUGGAAUCGGAUUUUACUUUGGAGAAACUUCAUAAACUGUCAUUUUUCUGUCUUGAUGUUAUGUUUAGAGCUUGAUGCCAUGUGGUGUGUUGGGCCUAUGAGGAUGAAUCCUUGAUGUGGCAGUAGUGGGUGAACCCCUCUACAACAUGGAGUCUUUUGUUUUAUACUUAGUAGGUUGUAUGAACUUGUUGUGCCUUGUCAAAGUUGACACUUGGCUGAAAUUGUCAGCUUUGUGAAAAUCUGUGAUUUUCACCAAGUCUGAGAAACUAUUGUUAUUUUCUUCCCUUGUUGAUGUGGUUGCACAAGCUCAUGUGUUGGGAAUCACCAUGCAACAAACUAAGGUUUGUGAGCUUUUGGGUUUGUCUAGCCCUCUCUUAAAUUUCAUGCACUUUCACUUCCUGUAGUUAUCAUUUUGGAGGCUGCCAAAAUGCUUCAGAGCAUAAGCAGCUGGUGAAAAUCUGAGAUUUUCACUAAGUCCAAGAAAUCUGUUAUUUUUGUCCAAGUUUGUGUCCAUAGAUCUUCUUAUGUGUGAUGCCUUUGCAGUAGCUUCUUGCUCAGGCUUGUAGAGCUUUUGAAUGGCUUUUGCCACAUAUCUUGUUUGGCUCAUUUGGGUGGCUGUAGGUACUUUGAAUGUUGUAGGCAAACUGCUAUGAUGCUGUUUAGGUCAGAUUGCAUGUUUUAGUUGUUUUGAAGCCUGUGUGAGUAUUGUUGGUGGUGUGGUGAGUUUCUUUGCACCACUCCGCUUAUAUUUGUUUGUUUGAUCAUGUGGCAACCUGGGAACACCAGAAGAGUGUCAUUGUAGUGUGCUUGUGUUUGAUUUGACCCAUAGGACUCCGUAUCUUGUUUCAUAGUUUCCGGUUGAUUUGUCACUCCGUUCUCAACGUUCUUUAUAUGUUUUUUGCAUCGUUUUCUCGUGAUGCACCUGUUCAUGCCAUCAACAUGCAUGUCAAGAUAGCUUAGUGUGAAGUUAUGUCCAGAAGUUUAUCUUCUCAUCUCAUGCAUAUGCAAGUGACUAGAAUAGUGAGGCAUGCUUCCUUCUCAUCUCAUGCAUCACAUUGUUUGUUGCAUCAUGUUGUGUUCGAGUUCAUUGGCUGUUAUUUUUAUCUUGGGUAGCACCGGGAUCGGAGAGCGAGUACGUGGAUUCUGGGGAGUACGUGCAGGACGAUCAAGAGCAGUUCCAAGCUAAAGACAUCACAGGCAAGAUGACCGUGACCUUGAUACCGUAUCUAGCUUUGUUAUGCUUAGAAUCAUGUUUCCUUCGAUAUAUGCUCGCUGCCUACCACUUGUUAAAAUGCCUCCUAUUAAUGCCAUGAAACCCAAAACACCUUUCCCUCCUAGCUAAUGUUGUUUGGCUAAGUAGGCUUGCUCAGCUUCUAAUGAUUAGCUUUGUUAGUUGCAGGUGCCAGCUGUCUCAUGUGAUAACAUGAGUAUUUUUAUAUCAUUAUGAUUAAUCUGCUAUUUAAUUAAUGCACCUAUAUACUUGGUAAAUGACGGAAGGCCUAGCCUUUUGCCAGGUGACUUGUUCCGUUGUUGCCACCUUAGUUUCGGCUACCGGUGUUUGAUUCCAUAACUGAUCGCUCCUAACACGUUCGGGGUUGUUAUGGGGACCCCCUUGAUAAAUCGUGUAGUGUUAAGGCUUGUCCGGCAGGACCCAACAUUGGUUUUAAUUUUAUAAUCACCUACUAAUAAUUUGCAUAGGGAAUAGUUACCCCGAGGAUUUAUUCAACAACCCGGGCCAAUGCUCCUCAUGAGUGUUGGUCCAAACCAGAGCAUCGUGCGGGGCCAACCCGGGGCAACUGAGGAGAUUUCUAUCAGGCCACCGUACGCUUCGCUUAUCCGGCAUGUCCUGAGACUGAGAUACGCGGCUCUUAUUGGGGUCGUCGACACGUCGGGAGGUCCUGCUAGAUUUGUCUUACCUUAGCGAUAUAUCUUGGGUAUAGGAAUCCAGGUGAAACUUUCGGUCUCCCCAAAGUUGAGGUUUUCCUCUAAGGAAUCCGACGAGAUCACGAGAUUCGUGAUAGAGGAUUACUUUUCGGCCCGUGACCGUUUGUGAUGGACUAGUUGGAGCACCCCUGCAGGGUUUAAUCUUUCGGAAAGCCGUGCCCGCGGUUAUGUGGCAAGCAUGGAUAAUUUGUUAACAUCCGGUUCUAGAUAACUUGAACUAACUCUAAUAAAACUGCCAGCUGUGUGCGUAACCGUGACUGUCUCCUUCGAAGACCUCUCUUCGAUCGGGAACACGGUGGGGUUAUGUUUGACGUAAGUAGGUGUUCAUGAUCACUUAGUGAUCACCUAGACUUCGACCGCUCGCGUAGACCACCAUAUCAAUAACUCUGAUCUUCGUAAGUUAGCCACCAUAUAUGCUUAGGAUGCUGCAACCUAUACACUGAACCUUCCUCACCUAAUAACUUGACUAGUUUCGGUACCAAGGUCAUCCGAUUGCUGAGUCCCCAUGGCUCACAGUUUACUACAACACCCCAACAGGUACAUGUACGCCCGACGCAGGAGAUCCAGAUGGCACGCAGUUGGCGUGGCAGUACGAUGAGGAGAACGACCGUCUGUACAUGAACUAUCCGGAAGACUGAGGCCGUGGUCGUGAUUGUGGGCGAGCAUGCAGGAUAUCAUAGUCUUUUCCUUGUUUCAUGUAGCCCGUAUUGGGACUAUCUUGUCUGAAUAAUUGUGUGGAUGUAACCUUAUAUUACUAUGUCAGAUGGCAAAUGUAUGCCCUAUUUGUCAAUCUUAAUUUAUGUAUUUUCUAUGAUUAUCUCGCUUGCAAUAUGCUUAGAUGAGCCUCUUUCCCU